CAUUUUGCCUCCUGAACCACCAGCAGAAGUAGUGGACAAUGCGCUCCGCCGGUCGGCACGCGCUACCCGUGGACUACCACCAAGCCGAUAUCGACAUUAGGCUUGUCCAGUGGCAGGGACUACCUACGUUUAAGUGGGGGAGUAUGUCACUGGGUGGACUAUUGGGGACCCUUGAUUGCAUGCACAAAUGAUUGCAUAUUUUAUUGAUUUGUUGUUGCAUGUUUUACAGUUUGUUAUUUUAUGAUUGCAUGUUUCUAUGACUUGUUGUUUUGUGAUUGCAUGCUGGACAAUUUAUAAUCUGCUUUGAGUUCUGUUUGAGUUGUGUCCUCAAUUGACAAUCGUCCCCAACUAAUUAGCAAUUAGUGGCAUAUGGCAAAUGGACCAAUGGGGAAAGGCCAGGGGCAGAACUUUCUCUUUUUAAGCAGGAAGACAGAAGACUGGAAAGGAGGGCGAAACUGGAAAGGGGAGCCGGGGAGCAACAAGGAGAGCCGGGGAGCAACAAGGAGAGCCGGGGAGCAACAAGGAGAACCGGGGAGCAACAAGGAGAACCGGGAAGAAACGAGACACGAGAGAAGGGAGAAGCAGAGGUACUACCACCACCACCACCACCACCAGCAGCAGACUCACCAGCAGCAGCAGCAGCAGCAGCAGACUCACCACCAGAAGCAGCAGCAGCAGACUCACCACCAGAAGCAGCAGCAGCAGCAGCAGCAGCGGAGGGCAGGAGCAGACUCACCACCAGCAGCAGCAGCAGCAGAGGGCGACUGGCAGUCAGACGUCCACACCAACGUCUGAAUUCUUUAGAGUUCCUAGGGCUUUUACCUAGGUGGCGUUGUUGGCAACACUUUUAGUUUUUAAGAAGAAACCUCGGCCGCUGACAGACACGCCAGACAAUUACAGGGGAUGACAGGACAAGGAAGGAAGUGAAGUUAACCCAGGAGCACCAGAGGCAUGAAACUACAACAUAAAAGACGUGAACCCAAACCGUGAUGGGUAAUUACCAAGAAUGUCUGCAAUGGUUGUGACGGUUCCCCAAAUUCGUGAAUACCAUGACUUGGUCGAUUAAAAAGUAGCUCUCGAUCAGAGUCAAAUCACUUGGGUUAGAUCAGGACCUUCAGCUAAGUCUCAUAGCUUGUAUUUGUUGGAUGAGUUUGGUUAAUUGGUUUAGCCAACUCUGGUGAUAGGUAGCUCUAUUCUGAGGAACGCGAAGUUAGCGAAACCAGGGAGCUUACAUGUAUACUCGGGGCCAGAGCGGGCAACAUUGAGUCUUAUCUUUCACUGCUGGCUAAAGGCUGGCGCAUGCUUCUGCGUCUGCGUCGACGCACUUGUUUCAAUUCAUGGUUCUAAAAGGCUUGCAUGUGUUGCAGAGCAAAUUACCUCCAGAACAACAGGUGGAGUAACGUGUUUUGUUGAAGACGACCUAGAGAGUCACGUCUUUGUGUGUGGAAGUCGUUGGUUGGUUUAUUUAUUUAUCACAGACUUAAUUGCCCCGUGCAUCGCCACUGCUGCUUUUCAUCACUGACACAUUUGUCCUGUAUUUUCCUCCACAACUUUGUUCCCCUCGACCGGCAAACCGCCUUUUGCAGAGAUCUCCCUCCAUGAAUCCAACCCGCUUAUACAACCCGCCAAUGACUGCUUGUAUAAGCGGUCAUAUUUACGCAUUUCUUCCGACAAGUUCUUCAAUCUGAUCCGUUCUCUCGUUAACAUUCUUCGUUUUAAUAAUGGCGGUAUUGUGCCAAGAAAGCGGAUAUGUGAGACGACGUAAAGGAUGUAGUUAGCAGACCAAUUGCAGCCUUGUGCGCUCUGGGAGCCUUCCGUUGCUCGCUUUCGACGAAAGUCUAGAAAAAUGGGUCGAUGCAUGCAAGGGACACGCAAGGGGCUCUUGCAUCUCCAUCGCUCUGAAAACGCAGAAGCAUAAACUAGGCUUGAGAAUAAACGUAAAUACAGUUCGAUUGUAAUUCACGUCGGCGGUAAUGACUCCCGAUUAGGUCGCUCGGAGGUCACUAAAGUUAAUCGGUGUGUACCUACGCUAAAACAUGUCGGACAACUUAGUUUUCUCUGGCCCCCUCCCAAACUUGAUCAGUGACGACAUGUAUAGCCGCAUGUCGUUAUUCUGCCGCUGGUUGUCGAGGUGGUGCCCAGUAAAUAAUGUGGGCUUCGUUGAUCACUGGAAGACGUUUUGGGGAGAGCCUGGUCUGAUUAGGACGGACGGUAUCCACCCCACUUUGGGUGGAGCUGAAUUUAUUUCUAAGAAUCUGAGCCAGUUUCUUAGUGGACUUAAUUCAUGACCCAGAGUUCAGACCAGGAAGCAGAGUCGCAGUCUUACACAGUUCUCUGGUCUUCCAUCCGAGCAGUGACUCACUCAAACCAUAAUUAACCCUAUAGAGACCGUGUAAAUGGUAAAUGGCCUGUACUUGUAUAGCGCUUUUCUAGUCUUCUGACCACUCAAAGCGCUUUAACACUACAUGACAUCAUUCACCCAUUCACACCCAUUCAUACACUGAUGACAGGAGAACCAUACACAGUGACACCUGCCAUCAGUAACUACCAUUCACACACUGUAGUCGCAGCUACAGGAGCAAUGUUGGGUUAAGUGUCUUGCCCAAGGACACAACGACAUGCGGGUUGGCCUGGGAUCGAACCGACAACUCUCUGAUUGGAGGACGACCGUGCUCCCCACUCACCCACAGUCGCCUCACGAACACAGUUGUCUAAAUUAAAAGGUAAACAACCGAGGAGUUAUAGUAAAUAACUUAAUCAAAGUUAAAACUAAUAAUGCAACAGUGCAACAAAAUAGAAUUAAAGGGUGACUUUUGAAUAUUGCAUCUGUCAUGAACCGGGUAUCCUCCUCUUUUCCUUUCCAACCCUUUCUUCACUUACACACACACACACUUAGGCCACAUUUACACAUAGCCGGGUAUUUACAGAAACAAAUAUUUCUGCCCCUCCGUUUUCAAAAAGGUUUCUGUUUAUAUGAACCCUCAUAAAUACGGCCCCGGACGCCAUCUAAACUAUGCCAAACCUGUAGUGUAACGAGAAGGAUAAAGACAUGCAAACCAAUCAGAAUUCUCAAAACCAACAACAAUUUGCAUACUGUGACGUUUGACAACCUAAAACUCUGUUGGACCUAAAUCACACGCAAACACAAAAACAGAGUUUUCAGAAAUCUCCACUUUGGCCGGAGUUUUUAGAAAUGAUCGUUUUCCGUGAUAAAACCUCAGUUUUUGUGUAAAUAAAAGGCCAAAACGCAUGAAAAUAUACGUGUUUUCCCAUCGUGUAAACGGGGUCUUAGACCUGCUCAUUCAUUCCCAGGUGCUUCUCAUCUCGUCAUCCUCUCUUCCCCUCACCUGUUCCUACCUUCUGCAAUUAAACUCUUUAUUUCUAGCCUGCCUCUUCCCCUUGUUCUCUGCCAGAGUAUUGACUAUGCACCCGACGUACCUGUACCUGCUGUCUCGUUUCUCCUGUCUUGUCGUGUCCUAACGGUUCCAACGAGUCCAAACCACUGUUCCACCUAGCCUCCCGUUUGACGUGGGCGGCCUGCUUUCUGGAGUGCUCUUCCCUCGCCCUGGAGCUCGUUCUCUGCACUCUCCGGAAUUCCCCGGCGACCGGCCAAGCGCCUGCGCCUCUUCUGUUAAGCCUUUAGUGCCAUUUUGUUUUUGAGACAACCUUGUGGCUACUUUUAGUUCCUUUUUGCCUUGGACAUUCUAAGUGGAUUAAAGCAGACUUUACUGCCCUUACGCUUGGGUCCUCUCUCCUCCACCCACACAACAUUAUCUAAAACUGUUUUAAAUUAACUAUUAUCAGAUCGCUAUGUUGAUAUAUAUAAGUCAUGGUAAUACUCCUAUUCUUUGAGGCACAGGCCGAGAGGGUGGAAUAGCUGCCGAACUAUUCAUAAACCUUAAAGCUGAGCUGGAUUAUAAAAGCCUGGUUUUCAGUGUUUCGCAACCAGGCUGGAAAAUAAUCCAGCCGGUUCUCUUUGUAAUCGUGUAUACGGCCCAAGGUCCUUAUUCAGAAUUCUAUCUGAAAGUUUGGUCCUUAAAAUGGACAAGGUAAUUUUAGUCGGUGAUUUUAACAUUCAUGUGGAUUUUGACAACGACAACCUUGGCACUGUAUUUCUUUCUUUGUAAGAUUUAAUUGUUUUCUGUCAGAGUAUAAAUAAACCAACUUACUGUUUUAACCACACUCUCGACUUGGUUCUUGUGUAUGGGAUUGGGAUUGAACAUUUAACAUUUUUUCCACAGAGCCCUCUCUUGUCGGAUCAUUGUCUGAUAACCUUUGAAUUUCUACUACCGCAAUCUCCUCCUCUUGCCAAGGGUUUCUACAGUCAAUACUUACCGGAUACCGCUAUAACCUCAUUUAAAGAAGCCAUUCCUUCUGCUCCAAGUUCAGUGUCUUGUCUCAAGUUAUCCGAAGAGAAGUGAGAACAGUCCGUCCCAGAUCGAUCAUUUUGUCACUGCUGCUACAGACUCUUUGAGAGUGGCGCUGGACGCUAUUGCUCCUCCGGAAGAAGAAUAGCAAAAAGAAGGAAGUUUGCUCCUUGGUAUAACCCUCAAACCCAGAACCUAAAGCAAACUGCGGAAACUUGAACAAUUAUGGUAUUCCACCAAAUCGGAAUGAUCUAGGCUAGUUUGGCAAGACAGCCUUAAAACAUAUAAGAAGGCUCUCUGCAAGACAUCUUAUUACUCAUUAUUAAUUGUGAAAAAUAAAAAUAACUAAGGUUUCUCUUCAGCACUGUAGCCAGACUGACAGAGAAUAGUAACGACUUCAUGAAUUUCCUCAAUGAUAAGAUUCUGAAUAUCAAAGAGAAAAUUGAUGGUCUCCUGCCUUCAACCAGUGCUGACCUGGAUGGCGCCGAUGAUGGCUGCCAUGGUGCUUCGGUGUGCUUCGUUUUUUGUUGUUAAUUAUGUUGCCUGCUGCGAUUCCCGGAGCUCUUUCACCAGAGAUGAGCUCUUGAACAUCCGUGGAACAACUCCAGCGGAGUUACAUCCAACUUUCCUGCUAUCUUUGGUGGAAUUACUGGACAUUAUAGUCAAAGGUGCGCUCACCUUUCAUCACGUGGUGAGACGCCGUAGGAGAGGAAAACGGGCCGGCUCGUUGGCGAAACAGCUGCUCAAAGCGGACCGCAACACGGAGCUCUCCGGCAAGACGAAGGGUGGAGGAAUCUGCUUUUACUUCAACAACAGCUGGUGCAACGACGUAACGGUGAUCCUAAAACACCGUUCUCCUGAUCUGGAAACUUUCUUCAUCAACUGCAAACCAUUUUAUUCCCCCCGUGAGUUCGCUUUAUUCAUCCUGGUCUGUGUUUACAUACCGCCGCCGGGCAACGUGCACGAGGCACAGCGGACACUCGCCGACAAGAUACGGCGUGUGGAGCGGACCAGCCCGGACUCUGUAGUUAUUGUCCUCGGGGACGGAAAUCUCACACACAAACUUUCUAAGUACAGACAGUUUAUUAAAUGCCCCACCAGAGAGGAGAACACUCUGGAUCACUGUUACACCACAGUAAGCAGGGCUUAUCACGCCAUCCCUCGUGCUGCACUGGGACACUCUGACCACGUCAUGGUCCAUCUGAUUCCUGCAUACAGGCAGAAACUAAAGCUCUACAAACCUGUGGUGAGGGAAUUCAAGAACUGGACCAGUAAACUCCUCUGGAGUUCACAGAGGCUGUAACUUCCUACAUCGGCUUCUGUGAGGACAGCUGUGUACCAUCAUGCACCAGGGUGAGUUACAACAACAACAAACCCUGGUUCACAGCGGAACUCAGAACACUACGCCUGCAGAAGGACCAGGCAUUUAGGAGUGGGGAAAAAGACUUGUACACAGAGUCAAAAUACAAGUUUAGCAAAGCGGUGAGAGAUGCCAAACGACUGUACUUUGAGAAACUCCAACAACAGUUCUCAGCAAGUGACUCUGCUUCGGUUUGGAGAGGCCUCAAACACCUCACUAACUACAAGCCAAAAAAAGAUGAGAUGAGCUGAAUGAGUUCUACUGCAGAUUCGAAAGACAAUGUCCUGAUCCCAUCCCUCACAGCUCCACCAACCUCCACCGACAAGGGCAGGCUGCAGCGUGUCAUCCGCUCUGCAGAGAGGGUGAUCGGCUACAGGCCUGUAGUCAUGAAGUCUUUUGAAGGGCCAGUCCUGACCCACCUGAAAUCCCUCCUGGACCCCCUAUAGUUCGCCUACAGAGCCAACAGGUCUGUGAACGAUGCUGUCAACAUGGCCCUCCACUACAUCCUCCAGCAUCUGCACUCCCCAGCAACCUACGCCAGGAUCCUGUUUGUGGACUUCAGCUCUGCCUUCAACAGCAUCAUCCCGUCUCUGCUGCAGGACAAACUCUCCCAGCUGCACGUGCCCGAUUCCACUUGCAAGUGGAUCACAGACUUCCUGUCUGACAGGAAGCAGCACGUGAAGCUGGGGAAACAUGUCUCAGCCACUCUGAACAUCAGCACCGGUUCCCCCCAAGGCUGCGUUCUUUCCCCUCUGCUCUUCUCCCUGUACACCAACAGUUGCACCUCCAGUCACCAGUCCGUCAAGCUCCCGAAGUUUGCGGAUGACACCACCCUCAUUGGACUGAUCUCUGGUGGGGAUGAGUCCGCCUACAGGUGGGAGUCUGACCAUCUGGUGUCCUGGUGCAGUCAGAACAACCUGGAGCUCAACGCUCUGAAGACGGUGGAGAUGGUUGUGGAUUUCAGGAGGAACAGAGCCCCACCCUCCCCCAUCACCCUGUGUGACUCCCCUGUCACUAUUGUGGAUUCCUUCCGUUUCCUGAGCUCCAUCAUCACCCAGGACGUCAAGUGGGAGCUAAACCUCAGCUCCAUCACCAAGAAGGCUCAGCAGAGGUUGUUCUUCCUGAGGCAGCUACAGAAAUUCAACCUGCCAAAGACGAUGAUGGUCCACUUUUACACGGCCAUCAUCGAGUCCAUCCUCUGCUCCUCCAUCACCAUCUGGUACGCUGCAGCAACAGCCAAAGACAAGGGCAUUGUCAUUACAAAGUUUUAUGCACUGUUGAUCCUCUCUUGACCGAUGAAAGACAUCUAUCGAGUGAGUGAUUGGCGUGUUUCUGCUGGUGAAACGGAGUAAUAAACAUGAUGAUAAAAUACUUCAGUGCGACGCGUCUUGAGUACAAUCUCCUCAUGUCUUAGCCUGCUGCGGCUUUUGAUAGUUUUGUUUGUGUAUAAGCCGCUAUAAAACCUACUCUUGCUCCAGAGGUGUUGGCUAACUACAGACCUAUCUCUAAUCUUCCCUUCCUCUCUAAGAUCCUCGAAGACCAUCACAUCCACCAUGUUGGUCACUAGGGUUCUGUACCGAUUUUAUUUACCCUCUAUAUGCUUCCUGUGGGCGAUCUUAUCAGGAAACACCACAUAAACAUCCAUUGUUAUGCAGACAAUACUCAACUGUAUCUGUCGAUCAAACCAGAAGAGACCAACCAGCUUGUUAGACUUCAAGUCUUGAGACAUCAAAACUUGGUGAACGGCAACUUCCUGAUGCUAAAAACAGAAGUUAUCCCUUCCAAGUCAACUGUCACGUGAUACACCUUUUAUGGAUCGAAUUGUUCUGGUAGCCAGGAGCACCAUCAAGAAUCUUGGAGUUCUCUUCAACCAGGAUAUGUCCUUCAACUCUCAUAUAAAGGACUGCCUUUUUUCAUCUACUUAAUAUAUUGAAAAUCAGGAACUUCCUGCCUGAAAGUGAUGCAGAAAAAUUAGUGCGUACAACAUGCGUUUGAUACUUCUAGAUUGGAUUAUUGUAAUUCUUUGUUAUCAGGCUGCUCUUGUAAAUCUCUUAAGCCUCUCCAGUUGAUUCAGAUUGCUGCGGCACGUUUUUAUACGUAUGUAACAAGAACUAAGAAAAGGGAUCAUAUUAACUCCUGUAUUAACUUAUCUGCCUGUUAAAUCAAGAAUAGAAUGUAAGGUACUUCUCCUCACCUACAAGGCACUUGUUGGUGAGGCACAGUCUUCUUAAAGAGCUUGUAACGCCGUAUUGCCCUACAAGGCAGCUGCGCUCCAUAGAUGCUGGGUUACUUGUUGUUCCUAGGGUUUUAAAAAGUAGGAUGGGAGCCAGAGCCUUCAGUUAUCAAGAUCCUCUUUUGUGAAAUUUUAUUAAUUUCAUUUUGUAUAGCCCAAAAUCUCAAAUUACAAAUUUGCCUCGAAGGGCUUUACAGUCUGUACACAUACGACAUCCUCUGUCCCGAAACCCACCAUCGGCACAGCCAGCCAGCUUCCACUUUCAGUCCGGGGAGCAGAUUCGGUCAGCUCUUUUCAGAUAAAGCUUAAAACGUUCCUCUUUUAUAUUGCAUUUUUUAUUAGGGCUGGCUCAGGUUAGGCCGCACCAGCCCUUAGUUAAGCUGCUAUAGGCUGCCGGGGGACUUCUUAGGACACACCAAGCUCCUCUCUAACUCUCUCUUUCUACAAUAAUCCACGUUUUAUUAAUGUGCAUGACUAAUUCAGCUUCAUUCCAGGAGUUGUUUGUGCUUUCUCCCCUAGCAGGUCUCUGUAGAUCGUAGUUCCUUCUAGACCAGGGGUCUCAAACUCAAAUCAGCUGCGGGCCAGAUGCAGCCCACUUCAACCGAACGCGGGCCAGACUAGCGUCCGAACGGCAUGGUCGACAAUAACACAACUUAACACUCACUUUCAAAAGCAGUCAUUGAACCCCACCCUGGGGGAUCGGUCCGAAUGAGACUACAACACUAGUCCUCCUUUAACUCAGCGGGGGAGACCUAAGGUCAUGUGACCGUGGAAUUCCUUUAUAGCCAAACGUGAAGUUACGUGAAUCGAAGCUGCGUAGUAAUGGACGGAGACGCUCGUCGGUAACGUCAGAUGCUUCAUGUGUUGUUAGUGUGAGUCGUAAAGGAAAACUUUAUUAAACGAGCGAUGCUAACGGUUAGUCACAUGAUCACCUGCGCGAAAGAGGGCAGGAAACUGAACUUCACCCUCCUGCUCUCUGCACCUCGGCCGACACACACGACCCGCCCCCCAUGUCAGUCACAUGCAUGCCACGUUCACUGGACAAGCACACAGUAGGAAACCAGAACAUCAUAACAUGUCCCACACAGCAGCUGACAGUGGGGUUACAGUAUAAAACUUGCGGGCCGCACUAACAUUACACUUUAAUAUUAAGGAUGGGGCCACAAAAUAUCGUCCCGAGGGCCGCAAUUGGCCCGCGGGCCGCGAGUUUGAGACCCCUGUUCUAGACCCUUGUCCUGACACCUGCCGUGGCCCUGCUGACACCUGCUGCUGAUCAUCAUUAUUUUAAAUAUGAAUCAUAUUACUGUCAUCAUAAACCAACAUUACCCUCUUCUAAAGUCUUUGUGCUCCCCCUCCCCACAGGCUUCUGUGGAUGGUGAUCCUAUCUAAAGUGGUUGUCUCUGCCCCUGCAGUGGUCCUGCCGUGCGCCUGGCUUGCUACUCACAAUUAUUUGAAUCAUUUCUGUUAUAGGAAUUGAAUGUAUUCUACAUCUUUUACAUUGUUCAUUAUGUACACAUGACAUCAUUGUAGUCUGUCCAUCCUCUGACGUCCCUCCUCUGACGUUCUACCUAAGGGUCCUUUUGGCCCCCAUGGAAGGGUUUUUCAUUUUUUUGGAGAGUUUUUCCUCUGCUGAUGUGUGGGUUUCGGGACAGAGGAUGUCUUAUGUGUAUAGACUGUAAAGCCCUCUGAGGCAAAUUUGUAAUUUGUGAUUUUGGGCUAUACCAAAUAAAUAAAUUGAAUUGAAUGAGUUGUUAUGGUAUUUUGGGAAUAGUCCUGGUAUUUUGGGAAUAUUCCGGGACAGUCAAGCAAUCUCAAGUGUGCAAAUCAAUCAGUGUACCAAAUAAAUCAGUUUGAUAAAUCUGUUUCCCUGAUUAUCUCCUCAUGUGCGGUGUCAUUCCCCUGCCUGUUAUUGGUUUGCCACGUGCUUGUGUUUUGUUUCUAUGUCCCCAGUAGCCUUCGAGUCCCGCUCAUUGUCGUGCCUUCCUCAACUGGCACAGCUGUGUCUCAUCUCCCCUCAUCUCCACCAGUUAUAAGUACUCUGGUCUUCUUCGUUGCAGGUGCUGUUAACCUGCCUGGUAUCCCGGUCCCGAGAGUUUGUUUUUGUGCUUCCUGUGAGAUUCUGAAGUUUAACCUCCUUUCUUUUUCUAUGUUCCUGCCUUCCAUUGUCGAGCCUCGCGUUUCACGUGGUCAAAGUCCUCCAGCUUGUUGCUCGGAUAUUUACUGCUGUGUCGGGUACCUCAGGUGUCACACAGUCGAGCCGGCCUUCCCAUCUGCAGUCCCGCCACAUACACGGUCAAGCACACGGAGGCGCCUCCGUCAUCAUGUGGCAAGAUCUACGGAUGCGAAUAUUACAUUACAUGUCAUUUAGCUGACGCUUUUAUCCAAAGCGACUUACAAUAAGUGCAUUCAACCAUAGGGUACAAACUCAGAAGAACAAGAAACAAGAAAGUGCAAUGUCCUCAAAUAAGCCAAUUUACAAUUUGCUAUAGAUGAGUGGCGUUAUAAGUAAAAUUUUAAGUGCUACAAUUUGUUAGUCUUUUAGUCGAGGUAGAGUCUGAAGAGGUGUGUCUUUAGUUUGCGGCGGAAGAUGUGAAGGCUCUCUGCGGUCCUGGUGUCUUCAGAGAGCUCGUUCCACCAUUUCGGAGCAAGGACAGCAAAGAGUCGUGAUCUAGUCAAGUGUUUUGCUCUCAGUGAGGGAGGGACGAGCAGUUUUGCAGAUGCAGAGCGGAGAGUGCGGGUCGGGAUGUAGGGUUUUACCAUGUUCUGGAUGUAAGCUGGACCCGAUCCAUUUACAGCAUGGUAGGUGAGCACCAAUGUUUUUAACUGGAUGCGGGCAGCCACCGGUAGCCAGUGAAGAGAGCGGAGGAGUGGAGCAGUGUGGGAGAAUUUCGGAAGGUCGAGCUGCUGCAUUCUGGAUGAGCUGCAGAGGUCAAAUGGCGGCAGCAGGGAGACCUGCCAGGAGCGAGUUGCAGUAGUCCAGGCGUGAGAUGACAAGAGCCUGAAUCAGUACCUGGGCAGCCUUCUGAGUGAGAAGAGGACGUAUUCUCCUGAUGUUGUAGAGAGUUUAUCUACAGGAUUGUGUUGUCGCGGUGAUGUUGGGAGUCAGCGAGAGUUGGCUGUUGAGUGUGACGCCGAGGUUCUUAGCGGUCAAAGUGGGCGUUAGUACGGAGUUUCCAAAGUUGACUGUCAGGUCCUGGGUAAGCGAAUCUUUUCCGGGAAAGAGAAGUAGUUCAGUCUUGUCGGGGUUGAUUUUCAGGUGGUGGGCAGACAUCCACUGAGCGAUGUCAGUCAGACAGGCAGAGAUCCGUGCCGCCACCUGGGUGUCCGAGGGAGGGAAAAAGAGAAUUCGUUGUGUCAUCGGCAUAGGUGUGGUAGGAGAAGCCAUGCGAGCGAAAGACAGCGCCGAGAGAGUUGGUGUAGAGUGAGAAGAGAAGGGGACCUAGGACGGAACCCUGCGGUACUCCCGUAGUAAGAGGACAACGUUCCGACACAGAUCCUCUCCAGGUUACCCGGGAGGUGCGGCUGUCGAGGUAGGACGAGAGAAGGGAGAGAGCAGAGCCUGAGGCACCAAGUUUCUGAAGGGAGGAAAUAAGGAUCUGGUGGUUGACUGUGUCAAAUGCAGCAGAGAGGUCCAGAAGGAUGAGGACAGAGGAGAGAGAGGCGGCUCUAGCAGUGUGGAGUUGCUCUGAGAUAGCAAGGAGAGCAGUCUCUGUGGAAUGGCCUGCCUUGAAGCCUGACUGGUGGGGGUCAAGGAGGUUGUUAUGGUGGAGAUAGGAGGAGAGGUCCUAAAGAUCGCACGUUCAAGAGUUUUGGACAAAAAGGGAAGACGAGAGACCGGUCUGCAGUUGUUUUCUUCACAAGGGUUGAGGGUAGGUUUCUUCAGGAGAGGGUUAACUCUUGCCUCCUUCAGAGAAUUGGGAAAACAGCCAGAUAACAGAGCAUUAUUGAUGAGACAGGUGAGGAAAGGAAGGUCAGGUGCGAUAGAUUGUAGAAGAUGUGAUGGAAUGGGGUCAAGAGGGCAGGUGGUCGGAUGGGCAGAGGUUACUAGGGUAAGAAUUUGGUUAGGAGACGGGGGUAAAAGAGGAAAGUAAGGGUGAUAGAGGUGAAGCCAGUGGGAUGCAAGAAGUAGGAGGUGGGUUUGAUAAAGGAGCGUAUGUCAGCUAUUUACUUUGUAAAGUAGUUGACAAAGUCACCCGGAAGAAGGGUUGGACGGGGAGGAGGACUAGGGGGUUCAAGGAGGUUGGAGAAGAUCGAGAAGAGUUUUUUGGUGUUAGAAAAUGAAGAUUCGAUUCUGGAUUGGUAGAAAGAGCUUUUGGAAGCAGAAAUAGAAGCAGAAAAAGAGGAGAGAAGAGAUUGAAAUUUAAGCAGGUCGUCAGGUCGUUUAUAUUUACGCAAUCUCCUUUCCGAUGCUCGCAUGGUGGCUCUAAUGGCACGCACCGGUUGAGACAGCCACGGAGCCGGAGGGGAUUUGCCAGUCCGCCGGGUCGUCAGAGGGCAGAGAGAGUCUAGAGAGGAGGAAAGAGUUGAGAGGAGAGUCUCAGCAGCAGCGUUCGGAUGCAAGAGUGAGAAGGAGUCGGUGAAAGAGAGAGCUGAUAGAACAGAGGAUGCUAGGGAGGAGCGAGAGAGGGAGCGAAUGUUGCGACAAACAGGUACAGAGUUAGUCAAUGGGGUAGGGUUGUUAGUUAUAGAGCGUAAGAGAUGAUGAAGUGGUCAGACACAUGAAGUGGAGUUACAGAGAGGUCAUUGGUAGAGCAGUUUCUAGUAAAGAUUUAGUCAAGGUGAUUGCCGGCUUUGUGAGUAGGAGGAGAGGGACUGAGUGACAGAGCGAAAGAAGAAAGUAGGUGUAAGAGGUCAGAUGACUUCUCUGUCUGGAUGUUGAAGUCACCCAGGAGGAUAAGCGGAGGGCCAUUUUCAGGGAAGUUUGACAGGAGAAUGUCCAGUUCUUCCAAGAAAUGACCCAAGGAGCCUGGCGGACAGUAAAGGACAACAAUGGUUAAUUGCACCGGGCGAGUAACUGUUACAGCAUGGAAUUCGAAAGACAGUGAGGUGGAUGGUGGAAGAGGGUAAAGAGUAAAGCUCCAUUUGGGUGAAAUAAGUAGACCUGUGCCACCACCCCUACCAGUGGGCCUGGGUGUGUGGCUGAAGGAGAAGGCGGCGGAGAGGGCGGAUGUGUUCUCCGGUGUGAUCCAGGUCUCAGUGAGAGCGAGGAAGUCAAGCGACUGCUGGAUAGCGAAGCCGGAGAUGAAGUCUGCCUUGCGAGUAGCUGACUGGCAGUUCCAGAGGCCUCCUGUGACGAGGUGCUGGACAUGAGUGGAGCGGGUGGGAUAGGUGAGAGGGGAAAGGUUAAGAUAGAGAGCGGAUCUGGCCCGAGGCCUGUAGUAUCUGCGGGAAGAGGUUCGGUAUGGGUAAAGGGGUCAAACACAUAAUUAAAACUAGAAGAAGGCGCAGCAUUCAGCCGCCCGGAAGACCCCACGAAAGACUCCUUAGUCUUUGUCCUGCUUGUCUUGACUCCCACGAAAGACUCCUUAGUCUUUGUCCUGCUUGUCUUGACUCCCACAAAAGACUCCUUAGUCUUUGUCCUGCUUGUCUUCGUGCUGCGAGGAUAAGCUAACGCUUCACUCAAUCUGUAGUUAAAUACUCCCUCGUUAGUGGAAGACGGCUGAGCUGACCACUCCCCCGUCGUUUCGGAGACAAAAGGUUGAUUGGCCUCGACAGAAACUCAUCAAAAUGCAAAACACCAAUUGUUUGACACUCAUAAGUGAACAAUCACCAUGUGGCGUUUUGACAAACUGGGAGUUUAAGGAUUCAAGUCUUAUUUGAUUCAGAAGUGAAGACAAAACACACUUAGAUCAGGUCAAACCUAGCAGAGUUAGGAGGACACACUGGCAGUUAAUAGUACAGUCUAGAGCACCAUCUGGCAAUAAAAAAGUGAAAGAGUUUAAGCAAACCAAGAUAACCUCAAACAGAGAGAACAGGCAGUAAAAUGGCAAGAACUAAAGCAAAUCAGCAAUCAAAUUAACUUAAGACACUAGAAUCAAAAACAAAUUUAGCAGACUAGCUUGGUUUAAAGAAAAAGAUACUUAGUCCGAUUUCAGGUCGACUGGAUGUCUGAUGCCCUUGGAGAAGAGAUGCACAAAUAUAAUAAAACGAGCAAUCGGUUUCAGAACUAUACAUGGCUAUUGUGCAAGUGAGAUGUCCUGACAGGAGUGUAAAUUAGGCUUCAGUCUGAGGAGGUCAAAAAUUGAAGAAAAACUGGGUUAGGCACAGUAAAUUUCAUUUCACAUAAAAAUACUGUGGGUCUGUUUAGGGAGGAACCACAGUCCUGACAAAGCUCUGCGAUGUAGUGUUUCCGUAGUAACUUUGGUGCAAUGCAGAUCUAGUACUUGAAUGGAGCACCAAGAGUCCAGUUGCACUGGUUUGUAUGUCUUUGUGUUUUUGAUGAUAGAAGGUGAAGCAGACUCUGUCAUGUAGAACUAAUGGACAGGUGAGGCUGAGAAUGAGGAGUUGCCGAUCCCAAUUCCAACCCCACCUCAAAAAAAGAGAAAAAAAAAUCACACAACUCAGAUCAGCACUGACAGUACAGACUUGCACACGCACACAAUCACAGACAAAAAAAAAGAGAAAGUAGGAAUAAGCGGUGAGCCAGUAAUCAGAGAACACAUCAGCAGCUUAAUCAGCAUUGCUUGUCUGAUGAGGAAGAACACUUGUGGUUUUUUUGUGGGCAGGAGCUUUCAUUAAUCAUCCUCAAAAGAAACAGCACUCCACCACAACUUUAGUUGGAGGACCCUGUUUUUUUCCUCUGGAGGAAAAAGAACAGAACAAUUGGAAGAAGAAAGGGGGUGGGGGGAAAUCCAUGCGCUUUUUCAAUCAGUCCAAUCAGCUUUGGUCAACUUCAGUGUCCAGAAGUUUAAUGCAUCAAGUGAACACCAGACUACUGUGCGGUAGUGGUUUGAGUGUUCCUUUCAUACUAACCAUACCUUAUAUCUGUAAAAAGUUAUUUUAAUUUGUACUUGUAUUGGUUAUAGAAAGCUUUCCUUAGACCCUUACGCUCUUUAGCUUUAUUCUUGUUAUAGUUUUAUUCUAACUUUGAUUUGAUGGAGGGCAGGUUGUAAAUUGGGGAGAGAGAGUCAUGCAACAAUAGUCACAAGUUCUGAUGUUAAGGAAAUCAAAGUCAUAUGGCAUGAUUUAUUCAUAUGGAAUUCAUUUUUGUGGGGAUUUUUUAACGCUAUGUUCACGAACGGUGCCCAUUUAUGCAACACACAAGUCAGAGCUGGUCAGACAGAGUCAGAACCUAAAUUAUUCUCAUCAUGAAUGCUUCGAUUUAUUUUGAAGCAUUCCUGGCAACAAUAAGCACCAAACCACUUAGAAAUACUCAACACCACUUUAACUAUGGUAAUAUUGGUAAAUUAAAAAUACUAUGUAAAUUGUUCGUAUGGCGGUGUAGAAGCUUUUCAGUCCGUCGAAAAUAAAUUCUAUAGAGGAAAACAACACACCAAAUAUUACAUUACAGGUCAUUUUGCUGACUCUUUUAUCCAAAGCGACUUACAUUGCAUUUUUAACCCAUGGCUUUUAAAUUUUUGCCCAGGGAGCUAUUAGGUUAGGUGUCUUGCUCAGGGACACUUCGACAUGGGACAUGGAGCAGCCGGGGCUCAAACUGCCAACCUUGCAGUUCCCAACACACCCUCUCUACCCCUGCGCCACGUCAACCCCGCAUCAUCAAUAGCAGAUCGCCCUGAUUCUAGUGGUAUAAGUGUGUUUCUCUCAGACAAAGCCUGCCGAAGUUUUUCGCGAAACAACCACAAAACCAUUGCAGCAAAAACAAUAGAAGUUUCUCCAAGCAGACAUAGAUAUCAAACCAUAGCCGGUUUAAUCAUGCUCAUAGCUAGGCUUGGUUAACCUUGUUUUCAACAUCAGAGCCCUGGCUACAAUAAGCCCUAAACUACUUAAAAAUACUCCAAACACAACUGUAGUGGGUGUGGUAAGAGUAAGAACAUAUUCCAUGCGUUGAUUACAGUGAUGCAAGUAUCAUUUCGCUCCUCACAAACCAUGCCAAAAUUCCAGUACAAAACCCAUCAAGCCAUGUAAGCGAAAACAUCCUAAAUGCCUUACCUUUGUUGUUUUACACAGACAUUAGGCGCAUUCAGGCUGAUUAAAGGAAGCCAUAGAGUGGUGGAAUGACGCAAAUCGGCCGAUAUGAACUCAACUUCUAAAAAAUGAAGAAUCUGAGCCAGCCGUUCUGACGUGAGGCCUUCACAAAAGCCUUCUGUAGAGUAGUCUAUCCUUGCUCUAUCAACUUGAAACUUUACAUGCGUACUGUCCACAAUUCGGGUAGAUGUGUUUUUAUACGUUUAAAGCUUUAUGGAAUUUAUAGGGCAGUUUUGUGACAUUUUUUGAGGCACAUCUCAAAAUUCUAACUUUUUUUGUGUUUAAUAUUGAUAUAUUGUUUUUAACAGUAACAUAUAGACCAGGGGUAGGCCAACUUUUUGGCUCAGGGGCCACAUUGACUUUCAAAAUUUGACAAACGGGCCGGCCAGUAUCAGAUAGAGUGUUCAAUCCAUCCAUCGUCAAACCGCUUAUCCUGCACACAGGGUCGCAGGGGGGCUGGAGUCCUUCGGGCGAUAGACGGGGUACACCCUGGAUUGGUCGCCAGCCAAUCGCAUGGCUAACACAGAGACAUACAACCAUUCAUACUCACACAUCUACGGGCAAUUUAAAGUCCCCAAUUAACCUGAUCCCCAGAGCAUGUCUUUGGACUGUGGGAGGAAGCCCGUACCACGCAGACACGGGGAGAACAUGCACGGGCGGAGUCGAACCCAGGACCUUCUUGCUGUGAGGCGACAGUGCUAACCACCACACCACCGUGGCGCUCAGAUAGCGUUCAAUUCCAAGUCAACUUGGCUUUGUAGGCUCACUCUCUCAUUUGUGUACAUUUCAUGCACAAACUGAUCUUUCCCUUGUAGCUUCAUGUUCAGCUCAUUCAUGUGUCAGUAUGUCCACAGCAAAAGCAAAAUCACAAAGCCAAUCUGAGUUAAGAAACAUCAAUGCUGGUCUUUUGCCGUCAUCGUGCGGAGAAGUGUUACAGCGGUCUUUACUAUAUUUUAUAUUUCAUAAUACUCGGCGGGCCCGGAUCAAAACGCCCAACGGGCUGGAUCAGGCCUGUGGGCCGUAGUUUGCCUACCCUUGAUAUGGACUGAUUGUCACACAUUUUAGCACUCACAGGGCUUCUUCUUUAUCCCCACAAAAACAAAUUGUACAAGUAAACAAUGUAUUUCCAGAGCUAUUAAACUUUUUUAUCAUGGGUGUGCCAUUUUCGGAGCAGAUGCUAUAAAAGAGGCUAAUGUUUAAAAGGUGUGGAAAACAACAACAACAAAUCUGCUAUAAUAUUAAAUGGCCUUUAGAAAGUAAAACCCACUCUGUCAAAUCAAGGUGGAUCAAGGCAGUUUCAUCUGUACCCCCACAGUCUGAGGAGCAUUAGACUUUCAGGACACGCACGCACAAGAUGCAAUAAUCUGAUUCAACCAGGGAGAAGGAUGUAAUUAAUAUCACAGUGUUAUUUAAUUAAAACCUGAGCAAGAGUAAAAUAAAGCCACUGAUUAUUGUCGUUUGUGAAUGAUCACACAGCCCAAUUUCAAUACAGCACAACUUCAAAAGCGAUUGUCUUCAAGAAUAUACAGGUAUUAAUUCUGAACGUUUUUUUUCUCCCAUCCGUAAAAUUGUAUUAUAUUCAGUUUCUUAUAAGAUGUGGAAUGCAUCCUCAUUUACAUUUCAUAUAUCAGUUAGUAAGGGAGGCUACAAUUUUUCUAGAACUGCUCAUGGACCAAUUUAAGAAUAACAUGAGGCCUAAUAUUAAUAUUCCUGCUGUAUAAAACGCAGCCCACAUAAACACUCCGAAAAUGUAAGAUGUGAUUUUUUGAAGUGGAUCUGAGGGAAAGCACUCUUCCACAAGCUUGUGUUCAUACUUUUGGCUGGAGUGCGUACCAAUCUGCAAUUUGGCUCAGAGAGAGGCUCAUUAGAGAAUACCGUUGCGUUACAUUUAGCUGACACUUUUAUCCAAAGCGACUUACAUUACAUUUUUUUAACCCAUGGCUUUUUACAUUUUUGCCCAGGGAGCAAUUAGGGGUGAGGUGUCUUGCUCAGGGACACUUCGACAUGGAAGCCGGGACUCAAACCACCAACCUUGCAGUUCCACGCGCACCCUUUCUACCCCUGCGCCACGACUCCCCACUACCUUUGCAAAAGGUGCAAUAUAUUGUUUUAUACAAGAGAAUCAUAACAAGACUUGUUAUACUGGGACCGAGGUAGUUUUACAGAGACUGUAGUUAAAAUGAGAAAAAAAUAUAUCUUUUGAAAAACAAAGCAUGUUAAAUCUUCUAUUAUGAAGCCUACAAAAAAGUUUCCCCUUUAAAACCAAAAGUAAUUAUAAAUAUAUAAGUUUGUGUGGAUGGAUAUGACUAGACACCCAAUAACUUCUUUAUAAAGUCCAGCUGAAGUUUAUCUCAGCUUGUGUGUUUGGAAAAAUCCUGCAAUAUGGCUUCUUACGCAACCCCCCCCCAAUUGAAAUGUCAAUCCAACCCUACUGCCAAAUUACUCACAUAGUUGCUUUCUAUCAGGCUAACGUCUUGAUUUAGACACCAACCACUUCUGUUCCAAUUUAAGGAUGUGCAACACUGUAAUGUAGAAGAACCUGUUCCAAACAAGGGGCAGCAUUCCACCUCUUCUAUCGGGUCUGUGGUGGAGGGGCGUGGUUAGCUCAGCUGCAGGGGGGAGAGCGGGGGAGUGGUUCAGGGGACGGUGCUGGUAGGUGAGGAGUAACCAGGUGUAAAUGAUCUGCACUGAUUGUCUCCUACAUAAGCAGUGAGCAGGAUCCAGGUCGGGGGAACGUGAGCCGAGCAGAGCGGAGUGGAGCCUGAGAGCAGAGCACGAGAGCGGAGCGGAGCCGGACAACGCAAAACCGACCACGCACAUAGACCGACCUCAUUCCUGCUCACUGCCUUCCCCUUUUGGACAAUAAAGACUGGUUACCCUCAUCCUGUGUCCGUGCGUCUUUACAAGAACCCGCCGGUGGUAGCGCUAUCACGGCUACAGGGUCCAUUUAAUAUAAAUGCACAAUCAUAAGUUCUAGCCAGAGGUUACUUUUGGCACACUAAGAUUGCUGACAGUGUGAUGAGGGUGGUCACUUUGCUGUUGUCGAUGGUGACAGUGUGAUCAAUAGCAGGGUAUUUAGACUUUUCCGGGCCCCCGCUUAAGGUUAUGGAAGCGACACUAGUGCAUGCAAAUGCAUGCAGGACUGAAUGAUGAGUUUUUUCUUUGUACAUCAGAUGCUCAUGCCAAUAACGAUUCUCUUUAAUGGCCAUCUUUUUACACCCCACCCCCCCUUCCCUCCCCAAGUUACAGUGUGAUAAUAAAUCUUGCACGUACAGUGCAGCAACUUAGCUUGUCCCUAUUAUGUAACAAAACCCCAUACUCUGUCUGAAGUCAAUGCCUCCUUCUAUUGAUUGCAUGUCCUGUGAGGAAAAGUUAUAAUAGUAAUCAUCAUUUAAGCAGAGACCUGAGGGCCCCUGAAUAAAAUACAGCCUUCAGCUCCACUUUUCUGCCCGUGGACAGCACAGGGGACCAGUAAAUAUUGAUCCCCAGAAAAUAUCCACAUGCCCACUUAUUGAGCCCAUGUGUUUGCUUUUAAAUGGUGCAACGCAGAUCUGCAAUAAGGUUUCCUUCUUCAUCAUUCAGCUGAUGUUUAUCUUUUUUUUCCCGAGAGACUUUUGAUGAGGCAAAAUUUAAUUAAAAAUCUGAUUAAAACUCUUCCUCAACACACCACCGAAUGUUAUAAAAAGGGAGAAGCAACUCAGCCAUAUUGACCAUCACACUCUCGCUCUGAUGUUCUAUAAAAGUGAUUUUCCGACUUUUAAGUAGGGAAGCCUUCGAGGAGCCCCUUGUGGCUGAGGUCGAAUCAUUCAAGUACUCUUGCCCUCUUCAUUUUGACUUUUGGUUUCAUGAGGGAGGUGUGUGCUGAAUUCCGGGUGAAAUCCGAGAGCCAUCGCUGACCUUGAGUUCAGCCAUUACUACUCCCUCGCCAGCCCCAUAUAACCCACAUUUACUAUAGCUGCUUCAUAUUCAUAGCACAGUGCAAUCCUCAGCACAUAAAUAAGGCAUUCCUAUGAAACACUGCAAUAAUAACUGACUUUCAUGUUGGCCAAACCUCAACCCAUGACCUCUCUUCAGGGCUCAGCGUGUGGUUUUCAUGCAUAAAGAGGGCUUCUACCGCCCAGCUAGGGAGUCCUGGAGUUAGCACACAACCGUAUUGUGUGUGCUGUUUGGGAGGUUCUAACAGUACAAUAUGAAGGCAUUUUAGCUCGAGAAAUCAGAAUUACUUUGCUUGUGAGUAAUUUCUUAUACUCUUGGUCAGUCCAUUGGGUUUACCUCAACAUAUUAAUUUAGUUUUGUUGUAAAAAAAUAGCAGUUCAUGGACAUCUGUGAAACCCCGCAAACAUGAUCCGACCUUUUAUUGUUUUAAAAAUCUCAAAACCAACUCCAGUCUUAUAUCUCAAGUUACCGUCAGUAAACAAUGAACCAAAAAUGUCAAUCCCAAAUAUCUAUUGCACGGUGUUCAUUUUAGGACAUCCUCAGAUCUCAGAUAUAAAUUGUCAGACUCAAAAGAAAAGGCGUCAGGUCCCAGACCAAAAGUCGUCAGACUCAGGCGAAACGACUUCAGUCUCAGAAAAACCUCUGUCAUCCUCACGCAAAACUCUGUCAAACCAAACGCCGUCAUCCUCACGCAAAACUCCGUCAAACCAAACGCCGUCAUCCACACAAAACUCCCUAUGAUGACGUAUUAUGAUUCUUCAGCAAAGUUUGUUUGUAGUAUCCAUGGCAAAUGGAGGACUAAACAUGGGUGUACUUUACGAAUGAACUAGCUUGCAUAAAACAACUACUUCGUAAGUAAGUUUUUCUUGCUGUACCAGUUAGGAGCAACACCACAGCGGUAUUAACUGUAAAAGCUGCUACUUUAGCUAAUUCAGAAAGCUAGUCAACAGCUCCCUCAUCUAGCUCUGACAAGUUUAUUUCUAAGAAUGAUUGAUUGAGGAAAAAUUAUGCCUUUUGGUUUGACAGAGUUUUUUAGAGGAUGACGUUGUUUGGUUUGACAGAGGUUUUUCUGAGACUGAAGCCGUUUCGCCCGAGUCUGACGACUUUUGGUUUGAGUCUGAGAUCUGAGGAUGUCCUAAAAUGAACACCGUACUAUUGGCUACCCCUUAAACCCAGAAAUAUAGCCCCUUUCUACCAUGUGUCUCCAAAACUGUAUCCAUUGUACAAUUAUACAGGGGAUAUGGGUUGGUUUGACAUUCCAGAUUUUUGCUAACCUUGCAAAAGUAGCAAAAAUAUAUAAUUUUACAAAGCUAAAUUAUAGUAAAACAAACAUACGGUAACUGAAGCCAUCUGCAUCUUUAAAGGAAGAAACCAACUCCUUUUCCCGCUCAAUUAAGUGAACGGUGGUCUAUCUUCAAAGUGGAAGUGCAAACAUGGAAACUUGUAGAAAUGUAGGUUUUAGUGCAGGGGGAGGGAAACCGAGCAAGCAUAUUCACACAGAAAAUGAACAUGCCAUUAAUUCAAUAUCUCAAAGUUACUGCUGACAUCUCAUUAUAUCUAUGGGCACCCAUCCACACCAACGAGCACACCGAAUAACACAUAACGUUGUUCACUGCACUUACCUAUUUUCCUACGUCUCAACAGAGCCCAGGCUCUUGCGGCCGAGAGGAGUUAAUGAUGCCAACCUGUCUACACUCUCCUGCAUUAAGAUACUGAUUAAGGUUUCGCUAUUAUGUAUUAAUUGUGUAUCCUCUUAAACCACAUUUUAUAUAAUGUUCAUAUAUAAAACCACCUUGGCUUCAUCUUUUUUUGCUUUACCUUCAGUUAUGAGUCUCAUUGUUUUAGAUGUACCAAGUUGUAUUUGCUGAAAAACGCUGUACAAGCAUCGGAGGGGAGUGCUGCAAAGUAUUGUUGAAUAUCACAUCAACAUGACAAAAUGUUUUCCCAGAGUGACAUUGAUUAAAGUAAUCUAUCCCACAUUCCUGACUUUGCAGGAUGAAAAAAUACACAUUCAGCAGACUGUCUCUAUCUCAAAAAAAGGAUAGCGACUCGUGUUAUUUACUGUAAUAAUUUGUUUUGGUGUAUGCCAUGUUUUUGAGGAUGGGAGAAAUGCAGAGAAGUGGUUCCUCUGUCUUAGCUUGUAUUCAUGCUCUGUGCCAUGCACAGUGAUCAUAAACAUUGGAAUUACUAAAAGCCGUAGUUUGCUUUUGAGGGCUGGGCAGACAAUCACUCAGAGAAAAAGAUAAGCAUGAAGAAAACUCCCAAAGUUGAGUUUUACCUUGUGUCACAAUGUGAUCACUUUUCAUGUGCAUGACUCCAUUCUAAUUUAGUUAAGUCUACAUCAUAAUAGUACAUAUUAUUGAUUGGUAUAUAGUCCAAAUCACAGACGGUAUACAAAAAAGUGGACUAAUGGCCCAUUGGGGGCCAUUAGAUGGAAUGUAGCUUCUGAAACGGCUUCACUUUCAAGAAUUGGGUUUCACCGCCCCAAUGUUAUGGAUUGACACAUUUAUGGAUAUUCAGAACUGAUAUAAACAUUUCUAAGUUAGGGUCAAGUUUUGUUCCUCAUCUUGUGCCAUUUUUCGUUAAUUCUUGAUAACCACAAUUCAGUUUCUUAUCUAACUUCAAUCAGAGUCAAUUCAUCCGAAUUUGUCUUAGUUUCUAUGCGUGUGUGUUUCAAAAGUGUUUUGAUUUCUGAAAUAAGAUUGAUCCAUUUCUGAGCUCCUACAUGUUCCAUGAGGCCCGUACAUAGUAUGAUCUGUGUACUUGCUGAGCAGGAGAGUGAAUGUGGAAGACAAGGGGGAGAAGACACUGAGGAAGAAGGAUUCAUGAAUAAUAAUGCAUACUGGGGCCCGGACACCGGCUGCGAGACUGCUGGUGCAGGAUGAAUCCAUACAGUAACCCUCAUCUUUCGGGGGCCUUUGCUUCCCAAAGCCCGUGUCAUUUCUAAUAUUUUAUAGAUGCAAAACAGAGAAAAACAUCAAUCAGAAAUGUGCCACUGUCUACAAGUCCUGCGAAUGCUCUGUUUCAAUCCGAGUGAAAGACGACAUGCUGCAAUGCGCAGAGCGUACCCUGCAGAGACAUCUGUCAUUCGACUACAACCCCUCAUGCAACACUAAUGCCCCACUUCUGGCUUUGUUCAACUUGUUCAACUAGCGGCAGUAGAAUAAAGAUCUGUUUAUUGAUUGAUAAAAGUCUGACAUAAAGGCUGCCUGCAGAUAUCCAUGAGCUUUACAUGUUUAUUGGACUGUCAAUGUUUAAGGGCCAACUUAUGUGCACAUCAAAUCACAUUUUACAAUCCACGUGAUCAACCCCAAACUGUAAAAUAACAAAAUCCAUUUACCUCUACAGGAAUGCGAGAGAACCCGGAGGUGUAAGGUGAACAUCUUUUAGAACAGGGCCUCGUCCAGACAUUCCGAGUUCACCCAGACAACGCGCUUUGUUUACCAGGGAUAUUUGCCAGUUUUCCUCCAUCCUCUGACUCAACUCACCACCAGAUCAAUUGACGGCUCCACCUCUCUCUUCACCUGAGUGCAGAGGAAACAUGCAAUCUCAUGAUCAGACGAUACAAUUAUAAUAAACUAAAAACAACACGUACUUUUCUUGAUUUGGCUUAUGUUUUAUAGUAUCUUUUCUGGACAGAAACAUGUUUUAUCACAGAACAAUGUGAUCUUGACUGGCUUCAUUUUGGUAAAGUAAACAAAGUGUUUUUUUUAAAUGAAGAACACAUUCAACCUGAUUCAUACUAAGUCUCAGCUUAGUCUGCAACCGGACCAAGAGAGGGUCGACAACCCUUCACAUUUAAUGACACACAAACAUUCACAUUGGUAAAGUGCAGAAUACAGUUUCCUGCUGAUGGCGGCCGAACAAAUAACGGGUGAAGAUUUUGUGUCUUGCUCAAGGGCACCUCAACUUUAGGUGUCAGGGUCUUGGCUGUGCUCCUCCAACUAAUUACAUUACAUGUCAUUUAGCUGACGCUUUUAUUCAAAGCGACUUACAAUAAGUGCAUGUCAACCAUAAGGAUACAAACUCAAAAGAACAAGAAACAAGAAAGUGCAAUUUCAUUAAAUAAGCCGAUUUACAACUUACUAUAGAUAAGAGCCAUUAUUAUAAGUACAAUUUAAGUGCUACCAAUUGUUAGUCUUUUAAGUCGAGGUAUAGUCUAAUUGAACAGCGCAGUUGGAAUUCCUCCACCAAUCAAGCUCCAGGCUUGAUAUUCUCCAGCCCUCCACUCAUUCCUUGCCAGAUCGUCAGUUCACAAACCUGGAACUAAUGCUACGGCUAAAAAGUGCAGCAAUCCCUGCAACCAGGUAACGUUUUUAGUCCGUCUCAGCCUCAGGUUCUCUGCGCCACUAGAUUCCCCGCAACGUGCAUUCUGGACUCAGCCUGCUCCACCCUGCCCACCAUUCCUCCAGCCUGCUCACAACAUUGCAGCCUCUGGUUCUUUAUUAUAAAGAAUGUUGAACCUUUUCUGCUUUGUGUUCUGCUCUUGGGUCCAGCACCACAACCACCACUACAAACACUAACCAUUAGUAAUUAGUCAUUUUUCAUCAAGUGCAGUCAUUUUGCUUUUUUAAGUGGCACUCAUUUUCACUGUAGGUUAAUUAUUUCCUUCAGUUCAGGGGAAUUUUGAUUCUUGUUUCCAGAGUAAAAACAUCGUCUUUCAUCACUGGUAAGAAAGAUAGUUCCAAGUGUAAAAGGCUUACUUUCAUUUUAAAAACUGCAAAAAUACUGGGGACAAUAGAAAAUACCGCAGUUGAGUUUGGAGCUGAAUACACAGGCACACUUUACACACACUGUCACACAUACAGUAUAUUGCUACAUAGUUGCAGCUACCAUCAGAGCUCCAGACUUUGCUACACAUCCUGAAUAAACAUGACCUACAUACCCUUCCAGUGGGGUGAAAGUAUGCUCCAUCACUGUCUUCAAAUACUCAGCAAAGCACCAUAUCAUGAAACAAUCCCUGUGUGUCAUUACAUUGUCGUCACAUUUGUAUCUAUUGAGGCCUCUACUAGUGCAAACAUUGGCAUCUCUUUUUGCUCUAUGAUGGAUUACUUCUUGACUGACAGUAGCAUGCCUGUGAAAGAGGCAGCACCAGAGGCAAUUAUUGCUCUUACAGUCUGGCAAAUGUCAGGAUUUGGUGUCAAAGUAACAAAUCGUUGCUGAGCAGCUGCUUAGAGGCAGGGUAGAAAGUCAUGACAUCUAACCAAAGGCCCCAAAACUGCAAUUUGCAGAGAUGUCCAAGUUUCAUGUGACAAUUGUUGACCUGUUGACUCAGGGCCGCAGUGCUUGUUCCGCUACCUAUAUAGGACUGAAAUGGUUUUCAGUUUUUUUUAAAUAUUAGGUUAAAGACUGUUUGAAAUACAUUGUACAAAGAAGAAACCCAAAUGAAACCAUUCUUUGCAUAAUUGAUUUCGUCAAAUGCUUGUCACUAUUGUGAGAUCGACUGUUGAAUCAGGUUCCUUAGAUCAACAACUAUUCAUGGUCAAUCCGAAAGAACAUCAUCACGUCUGACGAGACGAGUAAAACGAGAAAUAAGGGGAUGGUGGCUGGAUUUGCAAGCAAGCCAUAGCAUUCAGUCUGACAAAUACACGGUCACAUAUCAAAAACUUUUCUUCUAACAUGUUAAUGGAGGUAUCUAAAACACUAUUAAGUAUAUAUAUUUUCUCAGCCCUUCACCGAUCCUUUUGAAACAAAUAUCCUAUCAUCAAAUCCAUUCACAUCACUUCAUAUAUUGUGGGAUGUUUACAACUUUUCUUCCGUUUCUUUUAUUCCGAUUUGAAAAAUAAGGAAAGUAUUUCCAGUCGGCCACGACAUUGAUUCAAUUAUUUUAUUUUCACACCAUGCUUAAUAAUAAAAAAAAGCAAUGUGGUUGUGUAAGUCACAUGAGGGUUAUUUUUUAACCUCCAAGGUUGGGUUUUUCACAACCUUGUGUCUCUGGAGAGUCACUGGUGGUUAAAGAGAAAUCCUUUACUGGGAAGGCCAUUUCCAGCCAAGACCACAUAGGUCUUGUGAAAAGUGUAAGGAAUGGGCUGCUGGGACAUGACGGUCACCUGACUAGAGGGCUUUGCCAAUUGGGUAGUUGGCGGUGUUGUGUCCAACACUGUUGCUGCCCCAACCCCAACAAUAGCCAGAUCCCAGUCGUUUUUAUCCACCAUGGCCAGAAUUUCAGUAUGUAAGUGCCCAUUCUAGUUAAACUACUGUGAUCCGAAGUUGUGAGGCACCAGAAAUACAAAAUCACUAAUGUUAAGAAACGUGCGAAGAUAACUUAAUCCCUCUCUGUUAUUGUGGAGAAAACACAUUAGCAGAUUAUGUGUGUAAUCAUUUAGAAAACCAUCAAACAGUUUCCUAAAAUACACAGACUGUGGCGAUUUCUGUUGCUCUCCUUCAACCAAAAGAAGAUGUUGAAUUGAAUUAGAGACUCCACCGGCUGUAAUAUUGUCUGCAAAAAUCUGACCCAGUGAGACCUUGUGGUACACUGGGAAGAAACCCUCACCCUAAAGAUGUGUAACAAGGCAGAAAUUGGUAAUGUAUGUUAUUCUUUAAUCUGGAAGACUUAGUCAUCAACAACAUUUUUUUCUCUCAGUUGGGGCCUUGUUCACUCAACCUAAACAGACAUGCCUACCAUCACUCGCCUUGUGUCAUUAAAUUUGCCACGGCCUCCUCUAAAGACAUCUGUCACUGUUGCUGCAAAAACUUUACUGCAAAUGUCUUGUAUUGUGCAGAUGUAAUACACAAUCUCUGAUAUACAACACAUACUUCAUCUGUUGAUAACCUCCUCUGUGUUACCUGCAUAUUAUUUACCAAGGACAGCCUUUCGCUUUCUGUCAGGAGGCACCGAGUAGACCUUUUUCCAUGAACAGUAACUUAAGUUUAGGAUUAUGAUGUGAUGUGGUAAUGAUCUUCCCCCACAGCAGUCACAUGUGUGAGGCUGUUCUGUGGUCUGGCCGAGCACAGGUGACAGCUCCAUAUCCAAAUGAGAGACUUAACACAGGCACAGAUUGGUGUCAUUUUCAAGAGGCCUCUUUUUCAAUAAGGGUACCAUAAAACACAAUUGGACACAUCAUCAUUUAAAUUCGUUCCACUGCGUGGAGUAACAACAAAACCUACAGAAACACAUGUGGUUAGUUUUCAAACGUAAUAAUCAGAUUUUGUGGCGUGUAUCUCUGGUAUGCAUAACUAAAGAGGGAAAAAAAGUCAUGACCCCUCUACCAGGAAGUUCAUCUAGAGUCAUGGCAUGUCAUGGAAAGGGAGGAAUUAUAUUAUGACAACUUGCACAGGCCUGCUUUGAAAAGCCAGCUCGUGACCCUCUUGACCUCCAGCAUAUCACCUCUGCCAGAGCUGGCCAUGGUGAUUUAUCAGCAUAAAAAAAAAACGCAAAGUGUGACGACACUGAGGGCCGGGGCUUAAGCGGUGCGGCUGAUGGGUGUAACAGAUACUGUCCCAUUGGAAGUUUCUCCAGAUCUCAGAGAGGCCAUUAGUGUUGUUUUGAACUCUCAGCCCCAGCAUGUUAAAUGAUACAAGCUUUCAGAGAGACUGGUGACCACAGUAAAGAUAGUGACAACAUGACAUCCUUUCUCCUGGAUGGUAUGUCCUGCGUCUCCGUGGUAGCACAAUCUUGACAGAUGGUGAAAGGAACAAUAGAGCAAGUGAUGUGCUGGUUCACCUAUGUAGUCUGCCUGAGGCUGUUGCUGGUUCGUGUGAGAAAUUCCACAAUGCUUUGCAUCUUUCAUCAAACGUUUCACCCCACAUUUUGGUCCAAGAAUUCCAUGGCAACUUGACAACGUUGUUUUUAUGAGAAAAAAAGGUUAAAAUACAAUAUUAGCUCAAUUUCAAAGGGGUGGGGAAGGUAUUUUAAAGCUGAAAGUGGUGAAGCUACAAGCUACUCAUUGAAAUUGGUUAUGCUGGAGGACACUACACUGUUGUUCUGUGCCAGCAGAAACUGUAAACACUGAUGCGAUUUCACAUCAAGGAAUAUAUGUGUACAGCAGUGUUAAUUUUGGCAGCUAUUUUUGAUUUAGUCUUAGUCUUUAGACGAAAAAUGCAUAUUAGUUUUAGUCACAUUUAGUCAUUUUAAUCCUUCUUACUUUUAGUCUAGUUUUAGUCGACGAAAACUAGACUAAAAUGUAAUUAGUUGUAGUCUAGUUUUAGUCACAUUUAAUAGCCAUAUUAAACUCCUUUUCUUCCCUUCUCAGGCCCAGGGACCUCCUGUGUUGUGUCUACAACUGCAUAAUAGUCUUGCUUGCAGUACCUGGUUGUCCAUUAGAUGUUCCUCCUAGGACAGGUCUAUAGCAGCGGUCGGCAAACUUUUUGACUCGCGGGCCACAAUGGGUUGUAAAAUGUGACGGAGAAGCCGGGCCAAGAACAAAUCGUUGUUUGUGUGAGUGAAUAUAAAUCACAUGUGAAAAAUCAUUACAUGAAGGGAUUUGGAUUUUAACAAAUAGCAAAGCAUUUAUUUGCAAGGCGAUUUAACAAAUUGGCAAAGGUGUAACAACUUCAUGAGGACCAGGGAUCUAAACCCUUUGUUGUCUUUGUCUGUUUACUUGCAAUGCUUUUGACAUGGACACCGGAAGCUUUAUGGUCCUUUAUUGUUUCCACUGUGAAAUGGCUCGUCCCAACAAAAGAGACCCCUUAACGUCCUACAAUCGGUGCAAUACAUUAUUUUCUUGGGUUCAGAACCUGCGAUGACUUUAUCAUGUUGGACGUGUUUGGAGAAGCCUGUAACGGACCGUCUCAUCUAGCCGAGGAAACUCUGCCUGCCGUCGCCAAAGAACAGAGCAGAAAGGUCCGCGUGGACAGUCUGUUAAACGGGUCUUCAUGUUUCUGUGAAGCACCGCGUCUUCAGCCUGCUAACAGUCAGCUAAACCGAGACAGCUGAGCUACACUAAGGAAGCGCACGUUCAAACUCGCCGAAGCGUAAAAUAGUCGUUGCGGUCCGUAGUCGGUGCACAAGAACGACCGCUGCACCGAUGCGAGCGAGCGUUCUGGGUUCGUGGAUGACGUCAUCAUGACGCGUUAAUAUCCGCCGUACUUUGCCUGUCUGUUGUCUGUUAGCUGCGUGCGAAUUUAGGGGGGAAAAGUAUUGUGACUUUGUCAACCACUAACAUGUUCGUCUCGUCUCGUCUCGUUGACGAAAGUUGGAAUAGAUUUAGUCAUAGUUUUUAUUUUUUAAGAUCGUUUUCGUCACGUCUUAGUCUCGUCUUAGUCAUGGAAAAAAGGUUUGUUAACGAAAAAUUUUCGUCAUAGUUUUCGUCAACGAAAUUAACACUGGUGUACAGCAACAUGAGCAACACAUGUAGUCAUUAUUUAUUAGAGUAAUAUUUGCUUUAUAUGCCAUAUUUGCUUUUUCGCUUGUGUUACACCUCUACUUUAUGGAGGAAAAAAUAUUACUUAUACACUACUGGGAACUGUGGCCCGAAAAUAAAUAACAAAACCAAAAAGAAAUGUGGAUUUGAAUGUUGCUGCAAACACAUUCCCCCAUUUCUAAACCAAAAAUAUGAUACCGGCUAGAUGCCUAAUGGCUUUUAAUAUAUAUUACAUAUAAAACAUUACUUUUGUACAUUUUGUUAUUUUGUAUAGAUUACCAAUUCACUUUUUAGUAGGAAUCACAGCAAGAAGGUCCUGGGUUCGAUUCCACCCAGUGGCCUUUCUGUGUGGAGUCUGCAUGUUCUCUGCGUGGGUUCUCUCCGGGUUCUCCGGCUUCCUCCCACAGUCCAAAGAUAUGCUCUGGGGAUCAGGUUAAUUGGGGACUUUAAAUUUCCCGUAGAUGUGUGAAUGGUUGUAUGUCUCUGUGUAGCCCUGUGAUUGGCUGGCGACCAAUCCAGGAUGUACCCUGUCUAUCGCCCGAAGUUGGCUGGGAUGGACUCCAGCCCCCCCGUGACCCUGUGUGCAGGAUAAGCGGUUUGACAAUGGAUGGAUGGGACACUUUUGGAAAUCUAUAAAAUGUAAUAGUUAUGUAAAUGUUAGCUGGGUUUAUUUGACUUCAUUCAUAGUUUCAGGGUAAUAGCUGGACCUGCAAACUCAACAACUGUGUGUGAAAAGACCAGGGUAAUAAGGUUGUGAACCCUAACCCUAACAAAGCCCCGGCAGACCUCCCAGUCCUACUCAGUCUACACUACCUGGGGAAAGGUUGUAAUGUGAUAGAAAAAGGCCACUCUGGGUCAAGGUAAAGCGUGGCACAUACGGUACCAGUGAAUAUUUUGGACACAAUCAUGCACAAUGUACAAACUCAUGCAUCCAUUCACCUUUUCGAAUGGUGAAGCUUAAAGUUCUUUAUAUCUCAUGACUACAGCUAGCGGAGGACAAAAAGCGCCGUGGAAAUGCAGGGUUCAAUUCGCCAAACCAUGCAAAAUUAAUAAACAGCCCAGCAGAGAUUACUACCGCUACGUUUUUAAUACACCUUCACCCGUGGGGCUGCCGCUGCAUUCUCCAGAGACAUCGAUUAGCAGGAGAUGGAGUGACAGUUGACUCCUCCAGAGAGUGCAGAGAUUAGGUAAAAAAAGUGUGACGUUGCGCUGUUGCUCAUCGAUAUGUCAUUAAACAAUGACAGCGCCUCAGGCUGAUUUGGUUCUUAAUGGCAGAGGCAUUAAGGAGUAUCAGGUCAUCUAUAUGGCUCCUGUAUACCAAAUGGCAACCUGUGCUGAAGCCUUAUAAUGCAGUUACCAAUACUGUCAGACUGUAUGGGGAAAGCUAUGCAGAGAAGGCCUGCUGUCAUAUUAUUUAGAGACACGCAGGAGGUGUUAGAUUCUUACCAGUUGGAAAUAGAAUAAAUAAGCAAAUUAGUCAUCUGCUGUUAUGCUGGUCACACAAAGCAGGACUCGACUUUCAGCCAAAAAUGUCAAGGUCCACAGAAGGGCACUGUGAACAGGAAUUCUGUGGAAUGUGGGAUUUAUCAAGAUAAUGUAACUUUACUUACUUUCCAGACGCUAGAUCAUUUAAUUCUUGCAAAAUCCCAAACACUCUAUGCUCCUUGGUGAUUGUAUUGGGGGGGGCGGGGGACGAAAGAGAGUGAAAGAGAAGCACAGAAAAAAGUUGUUCUUUUGGAGAUAAGCAACUGUUUAAUAGAAAGUACACAAAUAUAUUUCCAUGCCGAUGAGCCAUUUGGGAUUUUUACACCACAUCAAUGGUCUGUCUGUAUGAGGGAAGGCAGUAACUCAGUCCAGGAGCAUUACUGAUUUACUGAAAAAAAAUUAUGGCAAGGAGUAAUUGAUAAGAGUACAGAUGGAACUACCGUUUUUGACAAGAUCACAAACAACAAUAAGACUUGGGGAGAAAAACAACAAUCUCACAGAGUGGUGGUCAGAGAACAACCUACUGCUCAAUGUUGGUGAUAACAAAGAAAAAAAACGGAAGAAAAUGGAGAUAAAGACAUACUAACAUCUACAUAAAUGGAUUUGAGGUGUGUAAUGUAAUGGUACUAUUUUAUGGACAUGCAGAGUGAUCAGGUGUAUAUGACAUGAAAGGGGGCGUGUACCGUCGGCAAGUUGUAUGAACCUGCACAGUCAUUGUCCCAAUGCUGAUGUUGAAUGAAGAUAAUAAAGUUAGCGGUAGAUACCACGGCUUUAAACUUAUUGUACACAUAACACAUGGUGUCAGAAGAUGGGGAAUUCCCUCCCAACUUCAACUUCUCGCGCCCUGAUCAAUGGCCGGAGUGGCGCCAACUGUUUCAUCACUUCAGGAUCAUAACGAAACUCAAUAAAGAGCCCCGAGAAGUACAGGUCUGUACGCUUCUAUACUUGGGGAAGGAAGACGAAGAUGUUACUAGGGCAGGUAUCUACCCAACCUGUCUGAGGUCACCAAACCCCUCAAUGAUCUCCUCAAAAACAUGAAAUGGGUAUGGAGUGCAGUGCAAGGGGAGGCCUUCAAGAAGGUAUAACAACUCAUCACAAAAUCACCAGUCCUAGGAUUAUACAAUGUGAGUAAGCCUACCAUUAUCAGUGCAGAUAAUAACAGUUAUGGUUUAGGUGGAGUCCUGCUUUAUCAUAGCAGACACAUUGUCCAGACAUACCCAUGCUUCUAUGACACAGGAAAUCGCAGAGCUGACCAGUGAAAUAGAAGCCUAUGAGGAAGCAAUCCACAAGUCAUGGCCCAUGAACCUACCAAACUGGACAUGGUCAAACAGCAGACCUUACAGCAGCGGUUCCCAAACUCAAGAAUGCCGCGGCCCACUUUGAAAUCUGAAAAUCUUUUGCGGCCCACCCAAACCUUUAAUCACAACUCUGAUCAAAACAUAAACUAGGGAUGAUUAAAUGACCUUAAGAAUUUAACCGAUUAAAAAUGUAUUAACCGACAGUGUAUGUUUUGUAUACCAUUUUCUCCGGAGCUCAUGUGCCGUGUUUUCCGCACAAUAAGGCGCAUAAGAUACUGCAGUCUAUCAGCGCCAAUCACUGUCAAAAUUCGAGAGCGCAAAUCAGGAUGAUGCACGCGCGUAAAUCAAACAUCCGCCAGCAAAAGUCUGUCUCGCGCGAGCAAAAGUCUGUCUCGCGCGAGGUAUUUGCUCGCUUGCAAAACGUGAACUUCGUUGCUCGCGAGGAGAAUCUCUGCUUGCGCUCGAAGGUGUUUUCUACUCGCUCGCUGUUGUUCUUUCUGACAGUAAGGGGGCGGAGCCAGUCACCAUGGUCUCUACACCUGAUUGGUUACAAACCCCGUCUUUGGAUUGGCUGGAGCGAUGCAUUCACACAACUAUAGAAGCCCAUUUCCGGACACUGAAGAAAGGGGAUAGAAAGUCUAAAUUAUGAGAUAAAACGUUGUCAAAACACAAACAACACCUUUAUGUAACCGUUGUGGACCGUAGAUGACAACCAGCUACAAGCAUAAUUUACCAUCAUUACCGGCACAUUAAGACCAAUGCGUCCAGCUCGCAGACCGGCUCGUGAUUUGCCGCCGUAGCAGUCAAACGUUUGGCGUCAGGGCUGGUGGAUGGGGGGGGUGGUGGGGAGGUGGAGACGGUGCUUUCAGGGUCCGAUCGAUGCUGCAAGGUGCGUCCGCUCCCGCCGCCCCCCUCACCAUCCACGCCUUAAAUCUUCGGCUGCUUUUAGAAUAACUUAUUUUCCCCGUUAAGAUGGUUCAGCUACUGUAGAGAAAAGGGCGCCGUCUCUUGCUCUUUAAUCUCAUGAAGUGCUCGGCGAGAACGACAGCUUUGUUUCUCCGACGCGCCCUGAAACAAGCUCCAUAUCUCACGCGCUUGAGCGCCGCUCAGCAUCUCGCCGUCGUAGACGAGCUUUGGCAUGUUUGGCAGAGCGCCUUGAGCGCCGUGUACAACCAGUAUGGAUCAACCGAUUAACCAAUCUGUUCGUUUAAAUUGUUUGUGCUUCAUCAAUUAAUGUUUCACAUAACUAAUGUGCCGCAUCAUACAUAUUUUUAUAUUAAUUUCAAACUUUUCAAAAUUGGAAAUUAAAAACUUUUUAUUUAUUCAUUGUAAAUGACUUCUCGCGGCCCACCUGCAGUACCUUCGCGGCCCACCAGGGGCUGCAGCCCACACUUUGGGAAUCGCUGCCUUACAGGAUGCAGAACUGCAGAUGGUUCAAGACUGUGGGGUGUUGGAAUGCCCCACGUAUGCUAUUAAAGUGCCUAACAAGGUAAAAGACUACUACACUUCCAGACAUCACCUCUCAGUUUCGGAAGGACCCGCUACCCAGUGGCCGAUGGGAAAGAGUAGCAGCUGACAUAUGUGAGCUUUUCACGAUGUAUAGAAAUAGCCUACCUCAAUAACAUGUCAGGUGAAACCACGAUAGCUAAGCUGAAGAACUUCUUUGCUAGAUAGCGAUGCCCACACAAACUUGUCACAGACAAUGGUCCCCAAUUUUAAGGCUGGGCUUUCAUGCAAGGAGUAUGAUUUCCGACAUACAACUUCCAGCCCUCACUACCCUCAAUCAAACGGUGCGGCAGAAAGAGCUGUGCAGACGGCCAAACGGAUCUUGAAACAAGCUAACCCUUUCUUAGCCCUCUUGGUCUACAGAGCAACCCCACUUCAAGUCACAGGUGUGAGUUCAGCUUAACUCAUGCUUGGCAGGCAAAUCCGUUCUACAAUUCCUACACUGGAGGCUAAUCUGCAACCUGGAUGGCCAGACCACCACAAAGUCACACGGUGAGAGGACGAUACAGAGCUACAGCGGGCCUACAACGACAGGGAUAACCUUAGAACUCUAACUUUCAACCUGGAACCAGUGUUGCUGUAAAUCUGGAUAGCGAGGGAGGCUGGACAAAGUUUGCUUUUCUCCUUAAGCGAGGUGACACAUCACGGUCAUACCUAGUCCGGACCGAUAAUGGUAUACUGCGCAGAAACCAUCGCCAUCUGAGACCUCUCCACAGUCCUCCAGAGACUUUCCAGGUGGGAAGGGAUGGAUGGAUCUAUGGUGAAGGACGGAGAAUCAAGCACACCUGUCCUGAUGCAGACACACCUCCUGCAACGACAGACUGCAACACGCACAACCUCCAGCGGCAGAAUUGUAAAACCACCAGACCGAUACGAAGUAUCUUGAGUAGUUAGAAUGUAGCCUGCAUCAAGUGGCAGAAUAAUCCACUGCAGUUGAUGACUGGUAGUCCACCCAACAAUAGUUCAGAUUAAUGUGAAAUGGUUGUCUCAUUAAAUAAAUAAAUAAACCUAUUGAGUGCAAUUAAACGUUUGAAUCGUUGGAGGAUCCGCUGUGGCACCCGGGCACGGCAAACCGCCAAAAACGGUUCAUGAUUUUUGAAACUGUGUGUGGAAUGGGUCUCGAAUGGACUCAGGGGUUACCGUGUUUUAGGGUAGCCGGGUAUAGUUCACCCUGAUUUGUUGGUUUUCGUUAGCUUUAAGUGGAAUGUUAUGAUGUCUUUUGAAAUACAGGAUGGGAAAGGGUAUGUUAUGCUGUCAGUCCAGCAGCUCCCCCUGUGUUUGUUCGCUUUGCCUGUGUUUCCCCUGUCUCAGCAAGGGGGUGUGGUCUUCUCCUGUUCAUCUCCGAAGGGUGUGGCUGGAACAGCUGACGGCAAUCAGCCAUCAGGGGACUCCCCUACAUCAACCCGGGUCUUCCUGCCGUUCAGCAUCAGAUAGUUCUGUCGUCAGAGUGGCAACUACGUAUUCAGGCCAUCUGGCUACUAGUGUGGAUUCAACGCUGUCUUUGCUCACCUUGUCCUGUUUUUUGCCCUAGUGCGCCCAGAUCCCUACCUGCCUGCUGGCUGGCUCUCCGAGACCAAUAUCCCCUCCAGACUCAAACCUGCCUUGUGCACCUUUUUUUCUGUAUAUGUCUGAAUAAACCCAUUAUUUCCCAGAAGAACCUCCCGUGUGCUGCGCUUGGGCCCACGCCCAUUUACCUCACAGUAACAGGGUAUGCAAGUACAACGGCGUGUGUUGAAGGUGGGGGUUAAAGCAUUAAAUGUUUGAAGACUAUCUUGGAAUGUGCAAAUUUAACAAAACCUGUAGACCUGGACCUACGACGGAAAGGUUGUCUGAGUGAAUCAGUAUGCCAUCUUGCUGUGAACCAUCUUCCGUUGUAUAAGCCCCAGUGACCAACCGAAGGAGCUGCGUCUGUGUACAAAUGUAAAUCGUGCAGGUAUUAACGUGGGUCUUUAUGUUACCUCGUUGGCUUGACCCGUCGCGUCACCUGGCGUCAUCUCGUCACGCCGCCUCAAAGUUAAUGUUAGCUGUAAGCUGGUAUCCUGGUGCCGGUUGCUCCAACUGUAGCCAUGACUGGUAGGAGAGGGUGAGCGGGCAUGAUGCAUGAUAGGAUAAAAGCGUCAGCUAAAUGACAUGCAAUGUAAUUUAAUGUAAUGAGCCUUUCAUACAGCUUGCGUUACGCUCCUGCCUCCUUGUGUUAAAUUCUUGAUCUGAUGUAGUAGAGAUGCCUUUCAGAUCAAAGCUACAGACAAGCUAAAUCAAAUUAAAUGCAUCAGCAUAGCUUUAAUGUGCAACAAAGUUACGGCGGAAUUGAUUGUUACAUAUGUUGUCUAUUAAAAGCUAUUAGGACACAUUUCCAAGGCAAUAUAAUAUCAACAUAAAUUAAUCAAAAAUUUAGCCAGACAGAGGAAAAGUAAAGCAACUGUGAGGGAUAUACUGCAACUUCAUCAUGGCCUCCAUCGCAGGGUACAGGUUUUGGUUGCUUAGUAACGGAGGGGUUACCUCCUAAACACCAUGGGUAAAAGGAUGUAAGUGGUGAUAUAAAACCUGUUUUUUGAUGUGAACAUCCGCUUACAGAAUCCCAGGACCUAAAACCCAUGAUACUGACAAUACUGAAAAUAAAGCUGCAUCCAGUGAUUGCUUUGCCUAUGUAGGUUUAAGAGGAUUAAAGUAAAGAACCACUUUUUUUUUUUUUAAUCAGUAGCAAAUGUUUGUGGGCAGACAGAUUGUCAACAGGCCACUUAGUGUAUGAUUAACUGGGGUUUUAUUUCUCAGCAGUGCUUCAAGACGUAGACGCAGUUUAUCUGUUGUUUUUUUGGCGGAAAGAACCUGACAGCAUAAUUAACCACUUCCUUUAGGUCCACAAAAAAUCAUCACUCAUGUUUUGCAUCUGAAAGACCGUGUGGCGGUUCCCAAAAUUAGAAAUAUUGAAAAAUACAAUUUUUUGAGAAGUUGAACCAAAAUUGAACUUUACCAGCACGUCCAUUUAGUCCAUUCAAUGCCACAGUAAGGAAAAAACUUUUCUACUUUUCUCUCUAGCCAUGCAAAUUGUGCAACCGUCUUGCUUUCUGCCAAGUUACACAAAAGCGAAUGCUAAGUAAGCAGAUUGCGCGUGGAAAGCCUGAAUUGAAUUUGUCCUGCGAUAACUGGACGUGUUACCGUCUUAUUUCUUUCAUAAACGUCUUGUCUCUAUUAGCAAACACUGACAAGCUGCUCUGGCUCUCCACUGGAAUCCUGUGGGUUCUCCACCCCCCACCCCCCCCUGUCAUGAAUCACAAAGAAUUGACAGUUGUGAAGAAUGGAAAACCUGGGAGGGAUGUUUAGCCUGCGUGGAAACACACUUAAUAUAUGCGGUGGCCAUAUACUGAAAAUGUGCCAGCAGCUGUGUACAAAUUAUAGAGACAGUCAAUAGCCUGUUGCUUGCAUGACUUUGUAUGUUUACUUCUCCACAUGUACAGUAGAGUGUGUGUGUGUGUGUGUCCAGUGUCUUGUGUAUGAAGUGCAGUUUGAAAGUCUAGUUUCAUAAAGUUUUCACAUUUCAUCAACGACGGGAAACUGUAACAUAAUCACGGCAUUAUGUAUUAUGGCAUUUGAACAUAACAAGGUUAUAAUAUGUCGCUGUUCAAUGUAAAUACAUGUUAACCUUUCUCUGUUACCGUCUCUGAUGUUAAAGAGUCGGUUUUGACCUAUGUCUUAUAUCAGCUGUGAAAUAAAACAAUCAUCUAUUGUCCAAUUUGUUUAUCAUCUCUUGGUUACCUUGUCAGGCCUUCUUGUCCAUGAAAUUACUGAUAUUUUUGGCGUGGACUUCUGGGCCUUUCCUUUGUCAGUUGGAGCUGGCUGUCAGUAUGUUGGCUUACAGUACACAUAUGAUUUCAGUUUUGGCUCUAAUUAUAACCGACCCUAACAACACACAUAUCAACCAGAGAUUUUCAUAAUUUAGUGAAAAAAAACUGUCAGGAAUCUAUUUCAACAAAAUAAAACAAAGUCAAAAACCUUGAUGGAAUAAACAAAUUAAUGUGGUUCUGGAAUGCAUUUAAAACCUAACGCAAGUGGAGGGGUAAAUGUAAAUGCAAAGGCAGUUCAUUCAAAUAAGGUACACAUUUUAACAUAAAUGACAAUGAAUGAACAGUACCAUCCACUACUAUUAACAUUUACAUUGAGUUACAUUUGGACUCAGUGAAGGGAAUGAGAAAAUAUGUCCAAACCUUUGAGUGGUACUGUACAGAAUAUUGACAUAGGAAUUUCCAUCCGUGUGUAAAACAUCCACUAAUUUGGAGUCACCUUACAAAGAGUCCUCUUCAUUGCCGGUGUGAACAGGACGAACAAUCACAGCUAUACUUCUUCAGCGUACCGAACAGCACGGACACCUUUAAAGACACCUUAAAGCACUUGAACCCAUCCUAAUUUUGCUUUACAUGGUUGGAGAAGGGACAUUUGGAGGAUAAAGCAAAAAGCACAUAACUUGUCAAAACAGCCACAAUGUGGAAAUUGGAUCAGCUCGAGAGCAGUAUUUUUUUUAUUUUCACUCAGUUGACUCUACAAUCAAAUUCAGACCAAAUGUUUAGGUGAAUUGUUUGUUUUUAUUUUCAUAUUUUAUUUGGUAAUUUUGGGAUAAUGCAUAGGCUUAUUCUACCAAAACUAAACAAAAAAUCGAUGCAUUGAGAAACUGAUUUCGAUAUUCAUUACCAUGGCAACAUCAAAGUUUUGAAGAAUUUAGGUCUGUAGAGUGUAUUAAAUGACGUCUUUAUCUAGUCUUCAGUGUAUUAUCCUGUCAUCUACUGUCAUGCUGGACUUUAACAACAUGCAUACACAGGGAUGAAAAAGAUUCACCCUUAUGCUUUCCUUGAAUUGCUUAAAUACGUCAGUCUUUAUUUCCUCCAAUAUAGUAAAGAAUUUUUUUUCCAGUAAAACAUUUUGGAAGCUUUUUGUUUGGUAGAGUGGCUUACGCUGACACUUUGCACAACUUCAAUCACCCUUCUUUAAAGCACUCACAGCACCAACCAGCCUUUGAGCCAGAUGUGACCAAAUGUUCAUCAAACACUGCAUUCAUACCCUCUAUGUCCCUUGACAAAUAGCACUGAUCACAUUGCAAAAGGUCUCAUUUGGCUAUUUGGAGCUUCCGGAUGAUUGAUGAUAAUGAUAGCUGAAUUGCAAAGCUAAAGUCGCUCCCCCUUCUAGGAAAUGAGCAAAUUUAAAAUGUAACCUUUUGUGCUCGAGCAUAACUUUACUCAGAGGUUGCCUGCAGAAAAAUAAAACAAUCUUUCAGACAUUUUUCUUCUACUUGUGAGCCUUUCGAAUGAAGAAAAUGGAUUCCGUGUGCAACAACAGUUGGUGAAUACAUCUUGUUUUCUUUCCAUUAAGAACUCCAAAAUAAAGAGAACAAGUUUUAUAGGAUUCAGUCCAGGUCACUGACUUUGUGUGCAUUGUUUGCAGCACAACACUCUUAUUGUUCCAACUUCUGGCUUUUUUUCUCCGCCUGACCACUAACGCCUGCCUUCAUUUUUUAUAAGACUAAUGGAUUUCUGCACUGCAUCUUCCCUUUCGUCAAUACUAACGUUGGCCCGUUCUGCCUUAUUUAUGGGCGAGUGUUUCCUCCGGUAAUGUCUAUUGUCUUUCCUGGUGAAGCACACGACAGUAUUACGUGAACAUCAGUUGCGGGCCCCCAUCUUUCAACCUCCUCCCCCGAGCCAUGGUUCAGCUUUUCCAUUCACCGGUCACAGCCGCACAAUUUUCUUGGCUCUUCCUGACAAAACACCCACAAGUGACUGAAAAUGUCACAGGCCUGGCUCUCCAUCACGGUUGACCAUAUGAAAACCCAUUUAAGUGCUUGUAAACUGACCUCAGCGGGGCUUUUAGAACACAUGGAAGCUAGAUUGGGUGAGGUAUUUCUAUCCAUAGAUCACUGUCGCUUUCGGUUCAGUGGUUUCACAGUUGUUUUUUUUAGCCAUAUAAGUAUUGUAAAGAGAACGAAUUCUGUUAACUUUCUACACUUUGAUAACCUCUUACUUUUAUUACUUUUUUAGUUUUGAUCAUUUUUCCUUGUGUUCAUUUAGUUUUGUCAUAUUACACCAGCCAGGCAGUCUCACUUCCUCUUGUAAGUACUGUGUGAAAGGUGGUGCUUAUUUUCCAAAACAAACCUGGCAGAAAUGUAAAUGCUGUUCUCAUCUGUUACCAUCUGUCAGCUUGCUUUUUCUUCUCCCACUUUUAAAUCAGACUCGACUAUUUCCUUGGACAUUGCCUUUUUUUUUUUGCCGCAGGCUCAUGUUUCAUCUUGAGUUUUCCUAGAAGAAUGAAAAAAAUACAGACUGUCUACCACUUUUUGAGCUCAUGCUUUGGCUUCCUUAAUCCCAGUUUCAUACCCUGCUUCUCCUCCUCAUCGAGUUUUCCGACUGCAUCAACUCCUGCCCUUGUCCUCCCUCGUUCUCUUAACCCUUCUAGUACAGGUUCAGCGGCUAUGAAGGAGACUAGCUUCACCCGGGCUCGCUAUCGAUCCAAAUUAAACAGGACACGCGGCUCCUUUUUUCUCAACAGCAAAAGCUUUUACAAAAGUUUGUAUUUGGUGGCAAGGUUGUCAAAGAAGAACUCAAAGAAUGCAGGGGGGGGGGGGGGGGGGGCGAGGGGUGAAGGAAUGGUGUAUGUAAUUGUGAGAUGCAGCUGGGGGCAUUAAUUAGUUUUUAGUUAAAGGUAAAUUAAUAUCUAUGCUUUGUGUUUGAAUACAGGAACCAACAAAUUAUAAAUUAUAUAAGAUUUGCAGUAUUUAUGAUAUAUUCCAUUCUUGGGUCUUCAAAAGUGCAACACAGACGGAUAAAAGCAAAGCAUUUAUCCUAAUUCUGUUGUCGCCCUGCUUACCAGAUGCCCAAACCACCUCAACUGGCUCGUUUCAACGCAAAGGAGCAGCGGCUCUACUCUGAGUUCCUCACGGAUGGCUGCGCUUCUCACCCUAUCUCUAAGGGAGACGCCAGCCACCCACCCGAGGAAACACAUUUUCGCCGCAUGUACUCGUGGCCUUGUUCUUUCGGUCAUGACCCAUCCUUCAUGACCAUAGGUGAGGGUAGGAACCAAAAUUGACCAGUAGGUCGAGAGCUUUGCCUUUCGGCUCAGGUCAAUUUUUGUGAACUCCUUCACUUGGAGUAAGGACGGAUUCUCUACCCACAGGAGGCAUAUGAUUACACAUUCCCCGGGUCAAUACCUGGCAUUGUAUGUUUAUCUUGUCCAACAACAAAGCUAACCAGGUCGUUCUUAUUCCCCAAUCAUUAAAAAGGCCUGACAUUUUAAACAUAGGCCACGCAUGUAUUAAACACUGUGCUCACAUAGUAUAUGCGAUAUACUGAAAAUUGAAGUAAUUUGUUUAAUCCAAACUAAAAUCUUUGAGUCGUUUCUUGUGAACACAGAGUGAGAAGUGGGGCCUCACAAUGGGAAGCCCUGCAAAUAGCUCAUACUUUUUGGGUAAAAGCCAACACAAUAGCAUGACCUUUAUAUUUGCAUGGGACUUUGUUCUGUUUGAAGUGAAAACUUUGAUGUGGAAUUGUAACUUACAGUACUGUGCAUGUCUGGACUAGGACCAGAUGCAUGUCUUUUUAGUUGUUUUAAAAAUACUGAUUUAAAUCUGUUCACAAGGCCUAGGAGGGUUAUUCUCUAACUUCUCUGAAUGGAAAAUUCUAGGGCAGCCUAUGAACAGCAGAAAUUAAUGAUUAAGCGCUUUCUGCUGGCUUGCUAUAGUGUCUAUUCCAAUGUCCACUGUCAUUCUCAUUUUCACUCUUGCAUGCUAUUUUUGCACACAAAUUGAAUUCAGCUUCAUCUUCUGGAGCUGUGUUUUCCCAAACGUUUGUUCUGGGACCUUCUUAUUAAAAGAUGAAAAACUGUCACAGCCCAUUUCACAACAGUGUUCUUUUCUGGGGAUAUAAACAUUUCGUACCAAUUUCUGCUUCUAAUAUUAUUUAGAAUCACCAUGGCUGUGCUUUAUGCAUGUUUUUAUAGUUAAAAAAUGAGUAAAUUCAUUUAAGUUGAGUUAAUAAGCUAUGUUGUUCUUCAUAUUUCCUCUGUUCAAUAAUAUAAACAGAAUGUUCAACAGCCUUACAUCAGAAAGUCAGGCAGCUUUGCCAGAACACGUCAGAGCAUGCUCUGCUGGCCCCAAAGCUCAGAAGCCUGUAGACAACGUUGGCGACUGUGCUCAGUGAGCAACUGCCAUGUAGUAAUUGGGGCACCAUAUCGGAAUGCAGUAUCCAGUUUUACCAAAUAGAUCUACAACCAACAAGAUCCAAUACGCUAUAAAAAGGCCCCACAGAAGCAAAUCAAAAACAUGACAUUGACUAUUGGCUAAGGUCAACUCUCAAUGUACACAGAAUAGAUAAAUACUGUCUAUUUUAUUUCCACUGUCUUUUGUCCCAGCCUAUUUAAUGCCAUGCUAAGACGUGUCCGGCUUUAAGGAUAGAUUGCACCCAUGUAAUCCUUGCAUACUGAAGCAAUGUAAUCUUCACAUUGUGUUCACUGAACGUAAUCUUUUCCUUUGAGUCUACACUCAUUCGAACAAAAUGUGCAAGGCUGUUUUACCAGGCAACAAUUGUGACCACUGAAAAAGUCCCAAGAACUCUAGUUCCCCUUUAUAAUCCUUUUGUCAGAGAGUGAUAGAAACACACGGUGAUUGAGAUCACUCUAACAGCUGUGGCAAAAAAUACAUAUUAUGUGCAAGACAAGGAAACCCUGAAGGACAACUACUUAACUCAUGUUAAGGAAACGUAAAACUUUUUGUGGAGAAUUACCCUCACCUUCACACCACACAUUGCGAACCAAGCAAAAAAAAAGGCGUACACCUAUUGAACCAAACACAUUUGAAUGCCUGCAGCUUUUGAGGACUUUUGCACUUCCUGCAACAUGUGCUAAAUCAUAUCUCCUCGUCUCUAGUCUGGGUAAAAUAAUGACAGGGUUCCACCCAAGGUGAAGGACAUACUAAUUCACUUUGGCACAGCAUUGUUUUGAUGUAGAGAUAGCGGCAGGCAGAGGUGAGUGAUGGAGCUGUCCGACAGGAAUGAAAGGGGGCCAGGCCCUCUGUCACAGCAGGACAGACAGAUGGGGCAUCAUGGGAAACAUGCCUGAGAUCAUAAAAGACUCUACAGGACAUAAUGAGAGACUUCAGAGAGUGUGCUUUUUAGAGGGGAGGGAAACUCCCAGGAAGGCAUCAUUUAACGGCUGUUAAAAAAACCAACUUGUGGCGAUUCUCGCUUCACUCGUGAUGUCUCCAUCCCGUGGGUUCCUGACAAACUGUUCCCUCGCAGAGACCUUCGGAUUACUGGUAAGUAAAACAGAGUCCAAUUUGUCUUUGAUUUGAGUAAACGACAUCUUUACGAGGUUGCAUCCCAGACGGAUGGUACGCCGCGGCACAUCCAUCACCGCCGGGCCAACGAUGGGAUUGAGUUUCCAGACUCCCCCAGCGUGUCUUGCUCUCUAUCUGAAACACCCCUUUAUGAGUCACCUUGUCAGGGUCUCUGAGGCAAGACAACCCUAUUCCAGUGUAUGGACAUGUCUUUGUUUUUCAUACUCACCGGAGGGGAAGAUUAUCAAGGUCUUGGGUGAAAAAAAAGGGAAAGAAUACACCUUUAGAAAAAAGCUUGGCGUCUUAUCUUGAAUACACUUGGCAUUUCAUUAUUGAUGUCCAGCUAUUUACCAAGAUUAACUCCCGCUCAGUUCAGAGUCCAGCAGAGAAGCUUAACUUCUCCUUCCACUUUUGAUUCCCAUCUAGCUGGCCGGCUCAUAAACGAUACGCCUUUUCAAAUGCUCGCUUGAAGAAUUCAGAGGGCACUCUGGAUUUCAGUGAGGGCGACAUGCCGUCACAUAUAAAUGUGAUCAUUAUUAAAUUAUGCACACCUUUUGUGACAUGUGACAAGGCAAUAUUGACUUUCGCAGCAUCCUAACCGGAGUGGGAGCCACGGGGCGCCGCUCACUGUCCCUGAACCCCUGUCACUCUACUUUCCAUCUUCCUUUAGACAUUACUGCUGUCCACCAUGAUAACCAGAAAGGUCAUCCAGGAUCCAAGCAUCUGAGCACCCAAAUGCUCAGUGCGGGAUUAUUCUGCUUGCUGUUCCCUGUCAUCUCAAAACCUGAAUUUACAUUACUCACUCUUCAUUGCAUCAGUACUGAAUAUGGGAGGGACAGACAUUUUGAUGGGGCUGUUGCUCUAAACUGAAAAAAGGCUUCAUAGCUAAGCCGCAACUUCUGGUUCUGAAAAGUGAAACCAAUGCCAAAAUUGCAUUAUUUCUACUGAAUAUUAGGGGGCAUCUUUUCUGGAUGCAAUUUUUCUUUUGCAAAAAAUCUAUGCGUAAAAUGCCCCUACUUUUUCCUAAUUUAUUACCUUAGCAAACGUUGUAAACAUGACUUUAUGUUCUUAAUUGCGGGUGUCAAAUCUUCAUCACAUCAUGUAUUACAGAUUAUGGCCUCACUUAGAGUAAAAUAGGCCACAAAGCUGGGCAGAUUUAGGGCAUGGCUACCUUGUUAGUGACAGGUCGUUACCAGAGCCAUAAACUGCAUCCUUACCUCACCAUUGCUCCUUAGUAAUCCAUAUACAUUAUCUUCUUAGGGAGCUUUUUGUCACUGGUUCCAAUAAAGUAAGAUGGUGACAGUUAAAUUGCAAAACUCAAGGCUUUAAAACCUCAAUCUACAAACCAAUAGGGGAUCUAGCAGUGUCUACGUCCACUUAUUAUAAACAGUCUGUUGCUGAACGCACAGUCAUUCUGCCCAAUGGCAAUUUAAUCCAGUAAGUGGCCAUCAUGUUUGACAGACCUAUAGUUCAGUCUUUGGUCAUACCUUGGAGUGUAUCAAAGUGAUACAAAGUGAUUCAAUCAAAAUAAAAAUAACAAGAUUAGAGUAUAUUCAUUAAUCCAACUGUAGUUUUAAUUGAUGUAUUUAAAACACAAAGAGACGGUAUCCCCUUUUUCCAAACAUCUGAAAGACCAUCUAUACCUGCAUUAGUUGAUUUUUUUUGUAACGAUGGGGCCAACUGAAAAAGCAGAAAAUGUCUGAAGUUGUCAUUGCUGAGUGAUGUGUUAGAAAACAUGUUGAGCACACAACAUUAGCACGAGUAGUGCUUCUUGUCACCAGAUGAAACCAAGUCCUUCAAAAGUUAUUGUAAGUUGCUUUGGAUAAAAGAGUCAGCUAAAUAAAAAAUGUAAAGAAUGUAAAUAGUCCAAAAUAUCUACGUUUCAGUCUCCAUCACUUACAGGGACAAAUGCUUUCUUGGAUGGUGUCACGACCGGACAAUGGCCCCGAACCCAUGUCUAGACUCCUUAGAUAGUUCCAAAAGAAAUCAAAGGGCAAGUGCCACUGAAAUAAAAAUCACUCGUGGUCGAGGAAAACACUACGUGGUAAAGCUAUAGAUGCAGACAUACGCUGGUUCCUUGACGUGAGUCAAGAUGAACUGACACAGGACAAAGGGAGAUGCAGACAAUAUAUACACACAAGGUAGGGGCACAGGUGGAAACCGGGGCAGACAAUCAGACCAGCACACAGGUGAAAGGAGCAGGUUGUCUGAAACGAGAGGGAGGUUAAUUUUCAAAAUAAAACAGGAAAUCACGAGACACAUAGACACGAGACAACAUGAAUAACACCGUUUCCUGCACAUGACAGAUGGUAAAUGUCAAACUUUUCUGACACCGCAUUGUUACAUUUUAACCCAUUUGGAUCAAUGGGGAUGUAUCUAAAAAAAUGUGCAAAAUGGGUUCAGUUCUUGGAACAAAAUGCGUCUCUUUAACCCUGUGAUCCAUUUGCCCAAGACAAACUUUACAACCCAGCGCAAAACAGGGUUUUAUUAACAGGCGUCCGACACAGAAUCAAAAAAGUGAAUUUGUUUCCUAUUGUGACAUCAACGCCUGACGGGCAGCUGAGCGAGCCUUGUUUUAACUGGUGCACUUCAUCACCAAUAAAUGUAAUGUUGAAAACAAGGUUCAUUUCUUGCAGCUCUUAAAUAGCUUAACUGUGACUAUUGAAAAAAACAUUCUGUUCACUAAAACUUCCAAAAGGAUUUUGGGUAAAGUCAAGCAGAAACACGGAACAGUACAUCCUAUGUGAAACCACACCAUAUGUUCUGCCCGAGUAAUUACAGCCAAAAUGGGCACUCCUCCUCCAAGUGCAAUGCAUUAGCUCACUAAUAAAUGAUUGAUAUAUAUGCAACCCGCUCGCCGCUGUGAUUACAGUACAAUGAAGAAAAAAGUAAAAGUAGAGCUGGAGAAGCACACCUCUCCAGCUUUUUCCACUCUGUUUUUUUGGUUAUUCUUCCAAAUGGAGUAAGAUGGACAUGGUUGGUUCUUCAUCCUGACAGGUGGGAUACAGGGCUGAACUCAGGCCUGUAAAUGUACAAGGGAAUGCUGCAGGGAUUUCUGCGAUGAUGGAGUAAGUGGCUUCCGUUGGCGCUAAAGCAUACAGAUCAGCUGUCCCUUGGACAAUACUCCCACCUCUGGAGCAGGAAAAAGGGGUUUUUGAUUCCACACUACCACCACCUUGCACUCCAGAUAGAAGCUGAUAAAAAUAGCUACAUGCGAUCCCAACAGGAGUUUUUUUCCCGCUCUAACAAUAGGGCCAUUUGCUGCCAUGAGGCUAAUGCAUUUCCUCCGCGUAUUAUUGUGGAGUAUCUAAAUGGACAUAAAUGACUUUGAAAAAGGCACUCUUUUUUACAGUGUUUUUUUUUUUUAAUAUUUCAUUCACUUUUAUUAACACUAUAAAGCCAUACAUUGAAAAUAGAACUUUUCUGGGGGAUGGAAGAAAGAUUGUGAUCGGCCAUUUAUCUAACUGGAUUUUCAGUUGUUUGCGGCACAAAAAGACGAGGAAACUGCUGUACUUGUGUGUAAGAAACAGAUCUUUUAUCUUUUCCAUAUAAUGCAGAAAAAAAUUUGACAGGGCUGUUGACAGGGCUGAAGAAAAUCAAGUAAUUCCUGUAUACAGUUACUGUAUUCAAUUUUGCAGCUGAUUGUGGUAGAAAAAACACAAGUCGGCAGAAGUAUGACCUUCAUCAUCACUUUUGAAGUAUUUGAAGUAUGUUUAAUACUUAUUCAAGUACAGAACAACUCUGGGCUGUCGCGGCCUGCCAACAUUUUGCAUAACUGCCAAUAGGGCGAGCAGCUGUCCCUUCCAUCAAAUCAGCUGACUCCAGAUAUCGUAUACAUUCCAAAGAAAACGUCUCUAGAGGUGUGCAAUUCAAGUCCAUCCUAUGGUCGAGUGUCAGAAAAGUAAACAAACCAGCAUUAAAACAAAAUUAAACAUUUUCUCCGAGCUCUAGUUAUCACCCUUUUUGGGGUAAAUAACACAUCUGAUUCCAGGUAUGUACCUCAAAGUUGUGUCAAAGACAUUUUCACAUAAAAGGUUUUUUUGCAAUUUUUGGGAAUAAAGUGCUCUUGGAUUUGUCAAACAACUUAGAAUACAAAACCGGUCUCAAAUGAUACAUUCUGGUAACGCAUUGGUAACAAAGUAGGGAAAUCCCAGUCAGGAAACCAGUCCAUCGUCUUACUGCAACUUGAGAUGUUUGGGUGCACCCUUAAUUUACUUUUAAUUGUUCUUUAUUUGUAGGAAUCCAAAUCUAAAUUGCUGUAUAAUGUUUUUGAGUCCUAAAGUUUGCUUCUGAUUUUGAAUUAUUUUUUUUAACCAGGUUGAUCAGAAAAUAGGUGAUGCCUCAUGACUGAUUACAUUCACCCCCAUAAAAAAGGGUAUCCCAAACUAUCCUGCUAUCGGCCAAGAAUAGAGUAUUAUAGAGAAUUCCAGUAUAAAAGUAUUACGGCCCGCGUGGAGGCCACAUGGUCCAAGACAGAGGCUGGCGGAUCCGUUUCAUGAGUUUGUUCUCAUAUGUCGGCCUCAUGUAAACUGCUCUGCUGAAGACGGCUCUCAACGCUCAUUCCUCUCCCAUCACCCUCAUAAUAAAGAAACUGACUGCACAGGUAGAGGACACCCAAUCUUUGUUGAGCUUUUAUUGAAUUAUCUGAUGCAAGAAACUGCCGGAGCUGCAUUCGAGCCAAGCUGCCACUACAUCCCCGAGGAAAAACCUGCACGUCCUUGUUUUUACAGUGCCGAGGCUGACCUUGAUACAACUAGGUUAAGGUGAAGGAUGAAGACAUGUAGGAUCUCCUGUGCCGCAUGGGCUCCCGGGUGAGACUGAACAACAUGUUGUGGUUUGGCUUCUGCUUCAGAGGGUUCAAGAGAGAAAACAAAUCUCGGACCACUCAGUGAGGCCGGAGCGCAGUUUCUGUCUCUGCAAAUUAGCUUUGCAUUCUUACUGAUGUGGCCACCACUGGUGGUCUUUAAGCUAAAUGAUGACUUCAAGCAAGUGUUUUUCCUGACUUCUUCACACACCAUAUUUCCUGCAACUAAUUAUAUAUACUGUACUAUACAUAUUCGUUUUGUAUUUUCCUAAUGUCAAAGAUAUUUUGCGGAGGAGGUUAAAUUGUGAGGAUAAUAAAACAACAACUGUACCAUUUGUCCAAACCAAAAUGGCAAAACGCAAUCGUCAUUGCAGUUUUAACAAAAGCAACACUCCUUCCCUUCUUACUUUUUAACAUUUUAAGACAUGGACAUUUCAAAUUCUCGGGCAAGUAUUUUAUUCUUGUGUGGUUUAUUUACAACAUGGUCGGUGUAAAAAAGGCCUUAAAGAGAGCAACGUGUAAGAUCUAAACAGACGUUUAACACAUCAUCAAAUAUUAAAUAUUAACCGCAGAAAGUGAAGGUUAGAGAGUUCUCUUUUUUACUAUCCCACAUAACUGGGCAAUGAAGAAAGGAUAAAGCCAGAUUUUGAGAAAGGCAGGGGGGACUAAAGCCCUUUUUUACCUCUUGCGGAGAGAGCUGUAUUGAUUGGCACUGCUGCUUACAAUAUUGCGUUAAAAAAAGCUUUUCUAUCACACCGCAGAUUGGGGAGGCGGGUGGGUGUGGCAGGAUAGAAAGAUAAUCCUAACAGCAGCCACACAAGCUGUGCUGAACACAUCCUUCUUAAACCCGCAGGCCCCCCCACCCUUUUGUUCCAGUGGCAGCUCCAGGAGAAUGGUAAAGUGCACCGGAAUGUGACAGCCACUCAUUCGGACCCGCUUGGGGAGAGUUGCAAAGCUGGAAACAUGGUUAUCAGAAUCUUGUGCAAAUUGUGCUUAAGUCUGCCAGCACUUUUCCCCUAACCCCCCCAACCGCUGAGCUGACCUUGCACCGGCCCUGAUCGGAGGUGGUUUUUAGGUGAUCAGAAAGGAGGAAACAGGCUAUGGGCUCUGGACAGUGGCGAGAUGUCUCCCUGUCACACUUCAUCUAGCCUGAUGCAUCAGGAUUGUUUCCCAGCUCAAGCCCGGGCAAUUACUAUCCUAUUCCAAUUUACUCCUCUGCACCACUGUAAUGAAAAAUAAUUAAGCGGCUGAAAAUGAGUUUUCUCAUGAAAUGGUUUCGGUGGUUGAACACAAUCGUACUUGGCAGAUGGCUACGCCGAUGUGUUUUAAUACAGCAAAGAUAGUUAAUCAUGUGUAAGGUGUGUUCGGCAAGAAACUUUUAAAGCCAUUUCUCUUAGUGAGAGAGAUGGCAAACAACUCCUCCGUGAUCAGUUGGCAAGCAUCCAUCUCGAAUGCUGCGGCUUUAGAAAAAAAGGGUGCUGUCAAGAUGUUUAAAGCAGAGCAUUUUAAUACGCAGCAGUGUUAUUAAGUGCUUUAGUAAAAACUGGGAGGACAAAAACAAAUUAGAAAAAAGGACAAAUCUUGCGGAGGUGAAACUCAAAAAUGAGAGAGAGCAUUACAUGCCUUCCCCCACCUCAUUUAUAUGUACAUAUUCAUCCACUCCAUUUCUGAAUAGGGCAGUAGAGCGUCAGAGUGUGCUGGACAAAAGGGUGAAGUUAUCGGACCGAUUUUUCUUGAGGAUGUUUAGUGAAGGGGAAAAAUGAUAUUCUCCUUUCUUCAAAUCGAUCAACGAGCGAAAUGCUGCAGCAACGCUUCCCUUAACUGCACCAGGGGAUCAAAUUUAAGGAGCUGUGGCUUCAAAGGUAGAAAAAGUCACAUUACUUCUAACAUAAACAGGCAGGAGACAAAGUCUCUGCAGCAGACUUGUUUCACUUUGACGCUCUUGAACAUCCAAUUACGUCACGAACCAUCGUAAUCCCUUUUGUUGAGAGAGAGCCACGCACUGCCUUCCCAAGUCUAAUCACGAAAGUGGCUGAUCGAGACAUCGGCGGUGGAGCAGGCCAAUGGUAAAGAACGGGUCUAUUGUAGUCCAUUGAGGCCCUUACAACCCACCAAGCCAAGAUAGCCUUGGAAAUAUUAUUUUGGGUGACAUGUCCUCAGUUGGCGAGAGUUUGAGAGUCAGUGAAAGAAGCCUUCCUGGCAGAGGGGUGUUCUAUGGCUUCUUUUAUUUGAAAAUGAGCCUCCACCAACCAGCAGAGGGUUGAAGAUCACCUGUUGCUACAACUCUCUAUGAAUAUCCACAAGGAAUCCCACAACUCAAUUUUUCAGCAAGUCAUCCGAUCCAUCGUUGUUGUUUUAAUCGCUUCAUGUUGUCUGUAUGCCUUUUCAAGAAAUGGAAUCGUAAAAGCGUUCCAAAUAGCUGUAAAUUGCUUUUCUUUUUAGGCAUUACAGGGGUUGUGCACUAUUGCAGGAAGUACUGACGUGCAGGAAACAGGGAAUCAGAUAGGGUGGUGUGUGGAUAUAUGGGGGUUGCAGUCUCAGAGAAUCCCUGAGUUAUGUAGAUUCCAGUCCUUACAGUCUUGUUACGUCCCUGACCAUUGUUGGUUGCUUGCGUAUACUUGUGUCGUAUAUGUCUUUCCUUGUUUUGCAGAAAGCCCAGCAGAAGGUUUAAUGAUUACACAUACUUCCCGGUUGAUGGCCCGCCCCCUAAGGCACAUCAGGGUCAAAGGUCUGAAUGUGAAAAACAAGAUCUGAAAAUAUAAAAUCUGCAACCGAAAAAUAGAAUUCAGUGACUGUCAAAUGAAAGACAAGUAAAGAAUGAAACCGGUAAAAUAUUCUGAGUCAAAACUAUAAUCAACCCGAAAAUACUUUUUGUCCACUUAUUUGCAUUUUGAAUACAUUGUUGUAUUUUUCUAAACUCAAACUUUCAGGUUCACAUUUAUUUUUCAAAUGAUCAACAUUUUUGACCUGAAUUUGGCUCCAUACCAGUGGAGAUGUUACGAGACACCGGGUUAGUCCAGAGUUUCAUUCUUGCUUCUGUCUUGCCCUUUCCAGAAGAAACCUACUGUGGUUCUGAUGUACUUGUUCAGGGAUUUGAGUUAGGACAUUUAAAAGUUCCUUUGCACACUGUAUAUAUUAAGAGUGAUUUAGUUUCUGGGUGUUUACGAGUGGCUGUUUGUCCGCACCUUCCCAUGGAAGUCUUCAACCUUCUUAUUGGUGAUGGUCACUUAAGUUGUGUUAAAUAUAUAAAUAUAUUUCUAUUGUUAACGUGAGGCAUUUGCCCACUUCGGAUUAUUGCACAGCACACCCAUAAAUUGUCUACAAGUUUGAUAAGACUAAUCAAUUCUCGUAACAAAAAACAUCUCAAAUGCUCCCCAAGUUGUCGAUCAUGUGACAUGAACGUGUUCUGAAUUGUGAGUGCCAUAACAUGAUUUGCAAGGAUACUCCCUUAUUGCAUACAAAUGUACAUGUGGUCAUAUAUUAUGUCCUCCACCUGUACAUGCCAGAGUGAAUUGAGAUUGAUCAAAAAUGUUGCUGUGUUAAUCAGGUUAUGUUUCCUCAAUUCCUCAGUUAAUUAGAUUAACAUAAUCUUGUUAAAGUGUUUACAUAACACGUGCAACAGCAGCAAACGUUUAAUCUGGAUCUUAUCAAGUAAGGGUAACUAUGGUGUUUCUUGCCCCAGAUUGAACACCUCACUUCGUUUCAGCCAAAUAUGUAAUGGCAAUAACACCAGAAGGAAAGCACUGCGAAUGAAAUCCCUGAGAUUUGACAUUGAAUUAUUAUAGCCUGCAAGUCCUGCCAUGAUUUAGCCAAUCAUUUUAAAGGCUACUGAUUCGCUCAAACAAUAACAGCAAUAGUAGAAGCUAAUUAUUCCUAAAAAAUAAACACAUUGCAUAUCGCAUGGAGAUGUCCCGAGUUUAACUUCAGACACUUUGUUGUACAUAUAUAUAUGCACAUAUA
Molecule: long non-coding RNA, 51703 nt
Organism: Gasterosteus aculeatus aculeatus (three-spined stickleback)
Lineage: Eukaryota; Metazoa; Chordata; Actinopteri; Perciformes; Gasterosteidae
Source: Ensembl